RNAcentral lists this long non-coding RNA (50822 nucleotides) under Glycine max (soybean). RNAcentral's name for it is "long non-coding RNA (GMAX_LNC002132)". The record is from RNAcentral. Lineage: Eukaryota; Viridiplantae; Streptophyta; Magnoliopsida; Fabales; Fabaceae.
CGAAUCCUUGUUCUCCGGCUUGCUCCGCCACCACGAAGUUCUGUGGUACCACCAGCAAUUGUCCCCUCCUAAGCUCACCGUCGAACACUGCAUUCCCUUGGCAGUUCACAACUCUAACCUUUCCUUGUCCUCGAGUCACAUAGAUCACACUGUUUGCAUUCAGAUUCCAAUGUGGAGAGUAAAUUCCAUUCUGCAUGGAUAUAAUAACAUGUGUUACGUAUCAUCAUCAUUAUUAUUAUAUAUUAUAUAUUUACACCAAUAUUUUUAUUAUUUUUUUAUUAAAAGUAGUAGAACCAACAAGUAACUAUAAUUAUUAUCAAAUAAGUCUUCAUUGACAUGUUAAAGUAACUCAUAAAAAUCAAUGCACAAUUAUAAUACAUUACAGUUCAACUACCCCUAGAGAAUCACUAAAGAAUUACCCAUAUCAAAUGAUAUUUUAAUGACAUUUAAAGGAAUCCAACCCUACAACAUACUUACUGACAUUUUUAUAUGUCUUCUAAAUUAUUAUAUCAUAUGAUUUAUGACAUAAAGAUUUUUCCCUUUUGUGCUUUCUUUUUAUUUCUUAAUUUUCUCAAGAUAGACUAAUUGACAAUUGAAUAUCCACGGAAAAAUUACUGGUAGAUGUGUAAGUAUGUACGUAUAUUAGUUUCAUGUUGAUUACUUAGUAAUAUGAAUGAGGUGAAUUACAUACCUUGUAGAGGACAACAUAUUGGGCACUGAGUUGGAAUUGGCGGAGGGCUGGGAGGGUGAGGCUGUUGAGGGUACUAAUGCGACCAGCUUUAGGGUUGUAGAAGUCAGCGCGUGAAGGGCGAGCAAUGUUCUCGUGAAGCUUCAAGGUGCAGAUAUUUUCCUCAACCCCGUUUCUUGUCUCGCAUCCUCUUUCACGUGGUUCUUCUUGUCUAGGUCUUCUGGGUUGUGUCUUUUUCGAUCUCCAUUCGCGGCUCUUGCGAGGUUGAUCUUCAUCUUCAUCUUCGUCCUCGUCCUGGUCCUGGUCUUGUUCACGCUUUCCUUGGCUUGGUCGACUAGGACGAGGUUUAUCUUCAUCUUCGUCCUCGUCCUCGUCUUGUUCACGCUUUCCAUGGCUUGGUCGGCGAGGAGGGUGAGAGGGAAUUUGUUCAUCUUCAUCAUCUUCGUCUUCAUCUUCAUCUUCAUCUUGUUGUUCUUGCCACUUGGGGCUGAUAACGCUGAGACCUCCUUCCACUGUCACGAUCUGCUUCCUUUCGUCGUCUGGAGACUGAAGUUUCUCAGCUAUGUCCUCGUUGGUGUUGAAGGAUUGUGCCAAGAAGUGUUUGCUGAAGCCACUGAGCACGCUGCCACCUUCUUCCUCUUCCUCCUGCUGGUGUUGCCCCUGCUUGCGUCCACCAUGACUUUUCUGCUGUUGUUGUUGUUGCAUGGUCUCUGGGUACUCUAUAUCUGGGUUCCCAGCAAGGUAAAAUACCUGAAAGUGAAAAAAUUAACAAGUGAGGAGAACAUGGUUUUUGUUAAUAGUAAAUGAAAUUGAAUUGAUAAUUACCCUAGGGGUUUGAUCAAGCUGGUUAUUGAAGUUAGAGGUGUCAAGAAGACUGAUGGCAACAACUGGUUCAUCGCCAGUGUUAUAGGUCCAGUAAGGAACACCAGGAGGAAUCACGAGUACGUCUCCUUCAUUGAAGUGACGAAUCUUCUGGUGACUGUCCUGUAGCUGCUGCUUCUGCGACCUUGAGCCUCUUCUGUUUGAUUGUUCUUGUGGCUCCUCAAACGUCUCAGGACAUCCUGGAAUUGCAACUCCAAGUGCUCCUUUCCCUGUACAUCAAUCAUCACCAAACAAAACAAUCACAUUUUUAUUUAAUCAGAUAUCUUAGUUGAUAUAUAUAACUUAAUAAAACUUUUAAGGUGAUUGAUAUGUCAACAAAGUCAUUCUAUAUAUAAUAAUAAUAAUUUGUAGUUAAAUAAUCAUGUAAAAUUUACUAUAGAGAUACUAUUUACUUAAAUCAUUAUUAUCUUUAGUAAAUGAUCUAUGGUAAUGUGAUGUUGAAAUUUGAACAAGUGGUGACAAAUGGAUUAAUAUACACUGAGAAAUGCUGGUGAUACUCUUUCUGAUAUGUGUGUUAGAAGCACUCCUUAUAUAUGAUUACCUUGGGCGAUGAUGAUCAUCCGGGGAUAAGGUGAGUAAGAUGGCAAGUGGAGGCCAUUGCGGUUGAGGGUGAGUUUGGAAACAGUGACACCGGCGCAUUUCAGCUCAGGGUGUUGAGAGUUCCAUGUUUGAAUCAAACCACCUUCGGACUCAACGCGGUGGUCGGGUUCCAACGCGUUGAGGUUGUUGAGUUGGCACUCGUUGAGCUUGCUGGAGCUAAUAGCAAAGCAUGCACUCGACAAGAGUAGCAAGCAAAGGGAAGAAAGAGAGAGAGUGAAGGGCUUCCCCAUAUUGAACUAAGGAAGUGUUAAUAAUUAAGUUUGAAGGAGUUGGUGAAUUGGAAAGAACAUGAGGAGUGGUGAUUUAUAGGUAUGAGAGGAGAGUGACUGAGGGACACGUCAAUGAAUAAGGGUUGCUGAGUUUGUGACAUUCUUCACCUUGCAUGGCUAUUGUUUCCAAUUUUGUUACACCUCAUACAUAAGCAUGCAUGCUUCGUUUAUAUUUGCAAUGGUACAAUGAACAACACCAAAAUUGGAGGCACUCUGAAUGGUCCCCUCCUACAGAUUCUCCGCGUCUCAAAGUCUAUCCUCUUAUACAAUAUGAGAAUAUCAGAUCAAUAUUGUUCUAUUCAGUUCAUCAUGUAUAUUUUUAUACAAUUUCGUUUAUAAAUGAGAUAAGCUGAUUAAAAAUGUGAAAUAAAAUAAAUAAUAUUACAGUAAAAGAUAAAAGAAAAAGGUUAUAGAAACUGUUAAAUAUUUUUCUUAUAACCAUUAGUAUAUAUCAUCGAUCUUUCAUAUGAUGCGUUAAUUAUUAAAAAACAAAUCCACAAUAUAUAAUCUUUGCCUGAAUCCUCCAGCAUAAUUGUCUCUGUAAAGAUAUAUAUUAAAUACUAUGGUGUGUUAAGAAUCCUUCUCAAUUUGAACUGUUUUACUGUGCAUUUUGUCAGUACUAUGAUCUUAUAUUGUAUAGUAACGGCGCCUCCUCUUUUCCCACUCAAGACUCAACGUUUGUAAAUAAUGAUUUUUUCUUCUGCAUUAAGUAUAUUUUCAGUUGAGAGAUGAAUCCUUAUUACAUGAAUAAUUAUAACUAUAUACAAAUUUUCUCUUUUAUUUUUCUCUCUUUUCUUAUCAUAUUAUUUAGUACAUUUUAAUAUUUCUCCCUUUUCUUUUUUAUAUCUCUCUCCCCGAAACAAUUAUCUUUUUAAAAUUCUCUUAAAAAAAUUGAAACAGAUAAACAAUUAUUUCUUUAAAUUGAAGAAACAUUUAGUAAGUUUAAUUUCAUGCAUUACUAGAUAACUAGGAAGAGCACUCAAAAUAUUCAGAGAGGAUGAGAAGGUGAGUACACGUAUAGAGGGUAACAGCUCUUCUGCACGUGUGCAUAUGCAUGGCUAUCAUAUGAUAUAAAUUACGUACACGUGCCUCCCUUAUUUUAUUCGGAUAGUGAAUUUGGGCUACAGUCUAAAAAAUACAGAGGCGUCGAUUUUAUGCGUAUAUAUAUACGAUUGAUCGGUGGAUCUAGCUAUCUGAGUAAUGUUUGGAUUACAGGAUUAUAUAAGUGAGAGACAGAGAAGCAUGAAUAAUUGAUUAAAGACUGGGACCAUGUCUGAACUAUUUUAUUCAAUACAAGAGGAAUAAAUUAAUGUUAACAGUGGAUCACAAAUUUAGUGAUAAUUUUUCAAAAUUAUAUAUAAAUUACUUCGUUACUAAUUUUAUUUUUUCUUAAAAACUCACUUAGAAUUAUUCAUAUAUUGAAUUUUUUAUAUACGAUUAAGUUAAAUACUUUAAAAAUAAUUAUUCUUCAUACUAAUUUUAUUUAACUUAAAUAGGAUUACCUCCUCUUAUGAACGAUAUCAACCCUUGUUAAACUUUAAAAUAAAAAACUUUAACAAUAUUUUAUGCUAUCGAUUAGAUGAUGAGCAUGCAUGUUAUAUAGUUGAUAGACACAAAUUUUACUAGAUUAAAUAUUUUUUAAGUCCUCAACGUAAGUGUCCUUCAUUAAAAAAAUUUACAAACAAAAAAAUCAAACAUAAAUUCUUUUAAUAAAUUAUAUUAUUGUGUGCAUCUAACAAGAUCAACAUUCUAUUCAUAUAGAAUACUUUUUAUUAAUUUCUUUCAUAAAUGAGAUAAAUGGAUAUACAAAAAUAUGUUAAAUAAUAUGACAAUAAAAGAUAAAAAAAAACAAAUAUACAAGUUGUUCUCCAGCUUGUUUUAUAAACAUAGUAUCGUGUUCGUCUCUUUUAUGAAAACAAGUAAUUAUACUACGUACGUUUUUGAGAAUCCUUCACAAUUUGGACUAUUUUAUUGUACAAUAUCUCUCUAUAUGCAAAAGAUCUUAUAAGCAAAGGCGUCUACUUUUUUUUUCCACUCAUCCAGACUACUUGACAUUUGCAAAUGAUGAAUUUUUCUACAUUAAUUAAGGACACAUUUUCAGUUGAGAUAAAUCCUUUUUAGAUAAGUGGUUAUUUUGAUUAUUUUAGAUGAGUGAUUACAAUUAAUUAUAUACCAAUUUUCUCUUUCAUCCUUUAUUUAUUUUACUUUUCUAUCUUAUCAUAUGAUUUAUCACGUUUUAAAUUUUGCAUUUUCUUUGUAUUAUUUUUUCUUUUAUCUUUCUAUAUAUCUUUUUUCCCUAAACAUUUAUCUUUUUUAUAUACUCGUAUACAGUACAAUCGCACUUUAGCGUGCAAAUCCGUUGCUAUCAUAUCAUAUUAAACUUACACGUGGCUCACUUAUUUUAUUUGGCUGGUGAAUUUGAGCUAUAAUUAAGUCAAGAAAACAUAUAGAGGCGUCGAUUUUAUGCGUAUAUAUACGAUGAUCGGUGGAUCUAGCUAUAUAGUAAUGUUUGCAUUUCAAGCAGUGCGGAUCCACACUUAUUUGGGUUGUACAUGUAUAUUUUAUUUUUUAAAUAAAUUGUCUCUCCUAACUUAGAUCUAAAUCUAUCAUUAUUUUAGGAUUAUAUAAGCAUAUGCAGUAUACUGAACAGUGAGAGAAAGAGAAGCAAGAAUAAAUCUUGAAAGAGUACGAUCAUGUCCGAACUAUUAUAUUAGAAGAGGAAUUAUAAUUAUUGUUGGAUAAAUAUUUAUUUUACUCUUUUCAAAGUGGUAAGGAUUCACAACUUGAUUCUUAAAAAAUGAAAAUUUUGAAUUUAAUUUUUAAAUGUAUAAAAAGUAUAACAGAUUGAUUCUUAAAAGAUAAAAAAUUUAAAUUUAAUCCCCUAAAUAUAUAAAAAAUGUGACAAAUUAAUUUUAUCCUUAAUUUUCUUAUGUUAUCCCUAACCUAUCUUGCAUGUUUAAACAAUACAUUCAAUGAUGAUAGUUGACAAUUAUCAUUAUCAUGUGAUUGUCCUUUUUUAAUUUAGUUUUUAAAUUUAAUAAUUUAUUCUCAUUUUAACAUUUGAAAUCACUUAUUAACAUUUUGAUAUCUAAGGUAACUUAUUAUCAUUUUAAUAUUUGAAUAUAAUCAGUUACUAACAUUUUGAUCUCUAAGCUUAAUUAUGUAUUCUCAUUUUGAUUUUUAAAAAUAUUUUUAAAUUUUUAAUUAAAUCUCACAUUACAUAUAAUUAUUAAUUAUUAGCAUACUCAUCAUCAUAUCCUCUUAUUUUCAUUUCACAUCCUUCAUUUUUCACUUUUCUCUUAAAUAAUUCAUCUUGACUUUAUAUUCAUAAUUUGUAUUCAAAGUUGGUUAUUUAUUCAAUUAAAACAUCAAUUCUAAUAAGAAAAUAACAUAAAAACAUCCUUAACAAAUUAUUUAAUUUCCAUCUUAAUAGAAGUGAAAAAAUGUUGUAAUAUUUAUACUGACAUGCAAUAUGAAACUUAAUCAUGAGUUUAAAAAAUUCAAAGAACACUAACCGGAGACAUUGAGUCUGUGGAUUCUCUCCGAGCAGCAGGAACAACCUUGCCCCUGUUAUAUUCUUGCGUGGGGAUAAAACCACUGAAUCCCAACGUGAUUUGCAUGGAAGAAUUUAAGAAUGAAGAUUUAAUUUAACCAUUUGGAGUGUCUCCAUAAAUUUCAUUCAGUCUUGAACUAAUUCUGGAUGUACUUGUGAUUAUACUUUAUGAUGCAUCCUGGUAAAGGAGUUUUAAAACUGCAGUAGGCUCAAGGUGUUUUGUUUUGGAAAUUGGUUCCAGAAAAUUUUGGUUGAGUUUGUUGCCGAGUUCUGCAAUGGAAUAUAAUUAAUUUUAAUUAACUUCCAUAAGCAGAUUCUUAUUCCUUUCACUGACAAAAAUUUCUUAAUCCAGCAACCAAAAUUAAAUAUGAUUAUUAAUCAUUUUUUAUUCAGAAAACUUGAUGCACCCUGAUGCAUUUUCCAUUUUGCUGAUGCAACCAAUUGUCUGCAUUUUGACUACGUUCUUUGUCUAUCUCAAGAUAAACAAGUUAUCCCCCAAAAAUUAUCUACAACUAAUAGAAAAGGACAAGAGGUAAAUAUUACAGAAGUAAUGUUUAUAUAUCAUUACUCAAUAGUACACAAUCAUUCAGUCAAAAUUUUCAUACAACCAAUUGUUGGUUUUUACAAUGAAAGUCAUAUUUAUCAUUUUUUUUUGUUGAUUAACAGUGAAACAAUUUUUACACUGACAAUGAAAUUAAUCUCAAUAAAAAGAAUGCAAGACUUCAAAUAAAUCAAACUCACUGUGGUUGAACUAGGCAACUAGCUGUAAUGUAAAGUAUGUAACAUAAAAUCUUCUAUUCCAUUAAUUCAUGGCUUUGUGUCCCAAAUGUUAAAAAAAAAAACCCAUUAGAAACAUAUGGAUAUGCAAAGAAUCAAUUCUAGCAGUGAGUAAAAGGGGUCUAUUCUGCCAGAAAUUUCAUGUUGGUAUAACUGAGUGUGAAUGUACAAUAUCUUCAAAUCAAAUUGCUACUGUAACAAGAAGAACAUUGGAACAGUGGUUCUAGCUGUAAAUCUAUAGAACAUUUUUUUCUUCUUAUAGGUUCCAUUUUCAACUGUUAUCACUAUCUUCCCAGGUUCACUGAUGUAAAAGGAGUUUCUAGUGCUGCUACCAUCUACACUUUGGUUUUGCAAUAAUACACUGUAUGAGCCUUCAUCAUCUGGAAUGAACUCUUCCUUGUAGGACACAUUCCAUCCCACCACAGUUACAUCCCACAUUAUUGUCACUCCAAGCUAGACACAUUCCAAAAUCAAAUUACAACAAAUAAGCAAAUUAGGCCAACAUGAUAAAUAAUAAUAGAGUUUAAUGUAUAUGUACUAGCUGUAAAACAGUUUUACACUGACAUCCAAUCACAAAUCAUCAUUUUAAUUACUUUAAGAUAAAUGUGAACAAACUUAUCAUAUAUGAUGGAUUGUAAUUAGAUGAUUGUGUACUAUAGUGCAUAAUCAUUUUUCUCAUAAUAAUAAUACUUUUACGUGCAUGUGCACAAGUGCAUUCAAUUUGAAACCAAAAAAAAUCAUGUAUAUACCUCUUUGACCGGAAAUUCAACUUUCGAAACCGUACUUCCUUUGAUUUUAUGCUCUGAAACCUUAUCAGAAGGUGAAAAAUCUUCAUCAUUGUUCCUCCUUACACCACCAUAUUCAGUUGGAAGGUGCUCUGGGGCUAUAAACCUUCACAAAUGACAAUGUUAAUUAACGGUGGUUGAAUUAGAUAAGAUUGAGAGAAUGGAACCUAAACACUUACUUAAGAAGUGUCUGUGUGACCUUCUGUGGCCUAGCUAAGAUGAACUUCUUUUUAUUUCUCUGAUUCAUGAACCUUGAGAAUAGCACUUGAGAAGUGUAGAACCAAAAUGGAGCAUAUACUAUAAUCUGCAAAAUUAAAUAUAAAAAAAAUGGGGGAAAGAAAAAUCAAUCAGCAUUCUGCAGUUUCAAUUUAGAUUGAAGACAUAAUAGCCAAUAUGCUCUAUUAUACAUUUAUAAACUAACAUUUUUGUGAAUGAUCUCAGGGUAGUAAUUCUGAAACAAAAUUAGAGCCCUUUUGCUGAGUGAGUUGAGCUCCUUGGUUCCUUGCAUUGGUGUGUUCCUCAAAUCAAAAACCUGAAGUACAGAGUUCACUCCUCCUUCCCUAAAGCAAAGCUUCUUCACAGCCUUUUCAAUCAAUUGAAUUCUCCACCUCAAAUACUUGUCACAUUUGUUAUCUGAUCCAAAGGUCUUCUUAUAGAUGCGCCUGUCUUUGAAAAUCCCACAAACAUGGUAACACACAGGACGACCUUCCCUAUCUUUACUGCACAAGAAUCCUGCAUUAUUAUUUCCAAACUCAGCCCCCAAAUCCUCAUCAAUGAUCCUAUCAACGUUGUUCUCGCGCCGCCACACAAGUGUCUUCUGCAGCAUGUCAAAUGCCUCACUCACCUUGAAAUCCUUGGCCUUCAAGAAUUUCCUCAAAACAACAUCAGUUCCCUUAUGAGCCUUGCUUGGCAACAAAGGAACGCCCCAGAGAGUAAUCUCUCUAAUCUGUUCCCUUGCCACUACUAUUUCUUGUGGCGCAAGUUUCUCAUGAUCUUGUUCUCCUAACAGAUAGUUCCCAAGAAUGGCAUCCUCAACCUUGCAACGAAACUCGAGCAAUGACUUCUCCGCCUUGAGCUUGAUCUCAGCAGGACUCGGGGCUGCGUCUCCCAAAGAUGUGGCCUCAAGAUCAUCAUCAUCAUCUUCUUGGUCACAAUCAUGAUCUUCUAAUUGGUUCUUCUUCUCUAAUUGGACCUUGAGACUCUUCUCAAUAUUGUUGGUGUUCUUAUCGAAGAAAUUGAAAACUAAGGGCACCCCAACAACGAUUUUCCCAUUUUCAUCGUUGCAACAACAUUCAUUGGUGUUGUUCAUGGUUGCAACAAAAAUGUUGAAAUUAAUUCUUCUUCUUCUCCUCCUCCUAGAUUAGAGCAUUUGGCAGAGGGAGGGAGGGGGUGGAGAAGGAAGAGAGAAAAAGUGGCAUUUAGAUUUACAUUACAUGCAUAUGCAUGAGAAGGCCUUGUUAAUUUGUGACAACUCAAUAAUGUUGAAUGAUGAUGGGUCACUUUCCCUCAAAUUGAGAAUUCUCAACCGUUAGUUUGUUUAGGUGAGUGGCGCCAAAUAUAGAUCACAAAUGGCUUGGUUUCUUAUUCAAUGGCAAAUAUUGCUUUUUGAAUGAUUUAAACCAAGUUGGCAUGGCAAGAGGCACACGGACCAACCUCGGUGUAAUCACAACAACCAUCUUUGAUUUCUUCUUUGCAAUCUUAAAACCUGCCUCAGAAGAAGAAAAAAAAUACAGGGAGCAACUUUUUAUAUAUGCACUAGCUUAAUAAUCCGUGUCUUGCACACAUGUUAAAUCUUAAUUAUGGAUUGACCCAUAAAGUUAUUUGUCUCCGACAUUUCACCUUUAUCAAACACUAAAAUAUAAGUUCUUUUGUUCGAUCAUCGUUGCACGCAUCAUUCUUCAAUAUCUAUUGUUGGUUUUUCAGUAAAGGCUUACCAUUAUUCUGUAAAGGCUUACCAUUAAAAGACAUAAUAAGGAAGAAAUUAUGGGAAAGUUCAUGUUUCUUUCUUUUUUUAUUAUUAUUUUCAUCUCAUUAAUUUUUAUUACAUAUUUCUAUUUGUUUCUUUUCUUUUUGUUUUCAUUUGACCACACCUUACAUAUCCCAAUAUUUAAAUAUUUUUUCUUUCACUUUUUAGAAGAUUUUUAGUGUUUGAUAAAGGUGAAAUGUCGGAGACAAAUAACAUUAUGGGUCAAUCCAUAAUUAAGAAAAUUACAAUAUAUUUACACCAAAAUAAUGGUAAGCCUUUACAGAAUAAUGGUCAGCCUUUACUGAAAAACCAACAAUAGAUAUUGAAGAAUGAUGCGUGCAACGAUGAUCGAACAAAAGAACUUAUAUUGAUUAUAAUUAUACUAAUUAAAUUAAAAUAACAUAAUUAAUUUAAUUAGUUUACUUUAAAAGAAUCUUAAUUACCUCAAUUAACACAUAUUAGUCAUAACUACCUUAACUUUAAAAUAGAAUAUAUACAUUGGUCAAAAUAGUCUAUUUAACAAUAUUUAUUUUUAUAAUUAACAUCAUAUUUGUAUCCGUAACGAGUAACACCGUUAGUUAUUGUAAAAGAAAAUAAACAAUUUUAUAUUAUACAUAUAAUACUAAAUUUGGUAAGUUGAUUGUUAUUAGAUAAUGAAUUGUUUACAAAAGCUAAAACAGUGAAAGAAAAUUUUAAAACAUUUAACAGUGAGAUGGUUAUUUAAUAGGGUUUAGUAACAUGAGCGGUAGGAUAAAUUGAGUUUAAAAGAUUUGUUUUGUAGCAGAAUAAAUUGUAUGCAAGAGGAGAAACCUAAGUUAUUGUAUAAUAAAAAAACUGUAUGUAAUUUGUAUGAAGAUUAGUUAUUAAUUAUGAUCCGCCAAUAGAGAAAAGGAAAUGAUAUAUUUCAUAAGAUAUCAAAGGUACCAAGUAGAGUACACAAGAAAAGAUCCCGUUACAAAACCAAGAAAGGAAUUAUUUGUAAUCUCUUAUCUUAACUAUAACUAUGUCCUGGUACAAAAAAUCUUGUUGUAUCUAAAACACUAUUAUUCAUCCUUUCUACAUAUAUCCAUAUCCAAGCAAAAAAAUGAUGAAUAUAAAACACAUAUCCCAUCAGAAAACACAUGCAAGAUGCUUAAUGAUGUUGGCAGAUAGACCAAGCAUACGAAGAAUAAGAAAAGCUUCUCAUUUAAGUUGCAUGGUACUAUGGUGAGCCAUUUCUACUCCUAAUCAUGCAUAAUACUUGAUUGAAAUUUAACUGCACCUAAAAGACAAAUUGUUACCAUUCUCCUCAUGUUGAAAUCAAAUGAUUUUUAUUUGAAUAAAAUGAUAGAUACAUUGAGGAAUAAAAGGAAAGAACAUGUUAAGUAUCAUAUUGAGUUUUUGGGUUUAAAAUUCCGUAAUGAUUAGUUUAGUUUCAUGAUCAUAGGAAAAAAAGACAUGAUAGUUUAGUUUAAAAAAAAAUAAGUUAUUAUACAGAUAAAUUCUCAUCAUAACAUAAUACUAAUAUGCAAUUUUCACUUGACAGCAACUUGUGUUGGUGAUAGACGUCACCUGAUUAAUUUGUAUUUGUAAGCAUGAAAAUAUCAGCUUGAAUGGAAUGAGGAAGAGUAAUUAUUUUAUUCAUUGUUAGUAAUAUUAUUUUAGGUAUAAUACUUACCAAAAUAUUGUAAUUGUUUCUUAAAAAUUCCUCAAAAAUGAUCCCGUAGUCAGAAAGUCUACAUCAAGAAAAGAAAUGUGGUUAAUUUUUAUCCAAAUAUAUAGUUUACAAAUGAUAUAUAGUUAUUUACACCAUGAUAACAUGGCAAUGGGGUGGGGCGGAGACGGGUAUUGUCUCCUCAGUUCCCGACCCCAACUCCCCUACAUAUACCCGUAUCCGUCUUGAUACUUGACGGGUUAAAAUUUGUUACCUCAUUUCCGUACCCGUUGGAUAUCGGGUAUCCCCGUCCCCGGUUUAGAUUUGUAAAAAAAAAUUGUAAAAAGAUUAUAUUGAAAAUCUGAUUAAAAAAAUUGAUUGUUACACAUUUAUUUUUAACUACUUGUAUUUGCAGUGCAUUUGUCUACAAAAAUCAUCAAGAAAAGAAUCUUAACUUAUGUAAAAAUUAUAAAAAAAUUAACAAGUAAUUAAUAAAAUUUUAAUAAUUUCAUCAUCGGGACGGAUACAGGAAUGGGUUUGGGACGGGUAGUGACAUCCCCGUCCCCGACCCCGACCUCGAUUAAAAAAGUCGAGUAAUCUUCGAACCUGAACCCAUACCUGGUCAACUCGGAUAUUUUUCAUCAAAAUCGGGACGGGUUUGGAUGAAUACCCACAGGUACGGGUUACGGGUUUCAUUGUCAUGCCUACACCCUGGUCAUAGGUUUUGAAAAGCUUCUUUAAAGACAACAUUGGUGGUUGUCUUUUAAGGGUUUUCCAUCUUUGUCAUAUAUUAAAAUCUUCAGCCCUUUAUUUACUUUGUCCUCUAGAAAAUGUCACAUAUAAUUGUUCAUGACUAAAUAUAGGUCUAGGCAAGUAUAAGUCUAUGUUUUUCAAUUGUUGACCUUGAGACUUGUUAAUUAUCAUAGCAUAAGAGACAAUCAAAGAAAAUUUUCUUCUCACAAGCUUGAAAGGUCUUGAUGACUAAAAAGAAGAUAAAGACAUUCAUGGAAUGUAAACUAAGUUUUCAAUGUUUUUUUUCAAAAAUGAUGUGUGCUUCAAUAACAUGAUUUGCAAGUCUUGUAACUAUUAAUCUAGUUCCAUUAACAAUGAUAAUAAUAAUAGUUAUUAUUAUUAUUAUUGUUGUUGUUGUUGUAUAAUAAAAUUGAUUUAGAAUUUAUAUUUGUACAAUAAUUAUAUUUGGAAAAAAUAAAGUAUAAUAAAUUAAUUAUUAUAUUAUAUUAUAUAAAUCAAAAUAUGUAUAAUUUUUAAUGAUUUAAUCUAAUUGCAUAUAUGUAACUAAGUGAUUGAACACAAGUAGUUAAUGUAUUGAAAUUAAAAUUGAAUUGUAUGAGUUUUAUAAGUUCAAUCAUUGACAGAAAUAAUUUUUAGUCAAGUUUUAUUGACCUCCUGCUGAAUUCCGCAUUAGUCAACGUCUCUUUCCCUUGAUGAACUAGGGGAUUAAGACAAAAAUCUAAUACAUACAUGUUGUAAUCACCUAAAUUACUAUAAUUAUUUAUUUUUAUAAAUUGAUAGUAGAUUAGUUUGAAUGGUCAAAUAAAAAAAAUCACAUUGAUCAUAAUUUCCUUAAUUUUAUGUAUUAGAAUAAGAAUAUAUAUUAUUCACCAAAAAAAAAAAGAAUGUAUAUUAGUACUGCAAAUUAAUUUGAAAAAUAAAUACUUGUAUUAUUAGUUUGAAUUUUUUAAUAAAAAAUUCUACUAAGCAUAAUUUCCAUAAUUACUAUAACUACUAUAAAUAUAAUAAUUACUUUAAUUAUACAUUUUAAAAGAAUUUGUUUUUCAUAUGCUAACUUAUUUAAAUUUUCAAAGAUAAUAAUGCGAGAUUAUCAUCCUAUAAUAUAUUUAUGUCACGAAAUUAAUAUAAAUCUUAUGAGAUUUUUUAAAAUUUGAAAAUUGAAUUAGACUAUAGUGUUAUAAAUUAAAAUGUGAUAUUAAAAACGUGAUAAUAAAACAUUGUCAUAAUUAUAAAAUAAAGAACUAUUAAAGAUUUCAUGUUUUAAUUGAUUAAUUUAAUCAAAAUACAUAUACCUGUUAUAAGUGUCUGUGUUACUAUAAUUAAGUAAAAUAACGUAUUUUUAUGAAUUAAAAAUAAAAAUAAAAAAAUAGAAUUUAGGCAUGAAAAAAAUGAAUACGAUGAUUUUAACCGUGCACCAUAUCAGGCAUUAACCUUACUAAUUUUGACCUGCACGGUAUGCACGUACCAGAUGUUAAAAUAUAUUAUUUUUAUAAAUCGGAAAUAAAAGAAAUGCUAAACUAUAUAAUCUGCUUGAGAAACAAAAUAUAUAAAUUGGAUGAUAGAGUUUCUAAAAUUAUAGUUCUCUUCAACUAAAGAAGUGACGAAAGCAAAAAAUUUAGUCAAUGGAUUAGUAUACACUUGACCAACAGCAUGAGUUUAAUUAGUUAAUAUGAUAUGGUCAAAUAUUAUAACUUUAAACUCUCUAGUUAUUUAAAAAAUAAAACAUAAUAAGCAAAGAAUUCGUUCAAGUCAUAAACAAGGCCACUACUUUAGGUUGACAUUUCAACAAUUGUUUCUUUGCAAAUUACUUAACAAACUUGGCCUCUUCUUUCAUUUAGUUCAUAAAGAUGCUUCAAUUCUUAUGCCUAUUUGAGUUUUAGGACUAUACAUCACAUAUAAGAAAGUAAUAGUCAAGGCAGAGAAAAAAGAUCGAUGAAUAAAAUAUAAUUCAAGAACGAAAGUUUGGACAUCUAGCUACUGUAUUCUACAUACAUAGAAUGUGAGGAAAUCCCAUUUACAAUAAUUUUAAAAAAGAACCAGACUGGUAUUAAAAAACAUGAAAUUGAAGAGGGGAGAAAAGAAGAGAUACACACAUAAGUUUGGCCACCUCCAAACAAGAAAUAAAAAUGCAACCAAGCUCUGAAUGCUCUGUACAUAGCAGGUGGCUUAUCAACUGUACCCUGUGGAUGAAAUUUUAGAACUCUCGGUAUUUAGUCAAAUCAAAGGUGAGAGUUCUCGAACAGCUGCAAAAGACGAAAAUCAUGGGUCAAUACAUUGGACUUAUGCUAUCAACAUAAUGACUAUUUAAAUCAAUUAAUGAUAUCUCAAGAAAUUUACCCUCUUUCAGAGUCUCUGUAAACCCCAACUAAUGCUUCGGCUUUGUCAUAAAAGGUGUCUUUCAGUGAUAUCACAAUACUCUGGAAACCAUUUCCACCAUCAACAUCCUGACUAAUCCUUGCUCCUUCACAAGAUUUUGAACGAAUAAAGCCAGCAACCUUGGCAACAUUCAAGUUGUCCAACGCAGCAUCAACUUCGUCCAAUAUAAAAAACGGGGAAGGCUUGUAACUGAAACAAGAAGUAAGUAGGGAACCAUAUUAAUGGAACAAGAAGAUAAGAUAUCAGCAAAAUAGUUUUAGGCUUAUGUGAGAUGUGUCAGUAUAUUGCUUAGAUGAAUUUUUGUUAUUAAAACACAAAUUCAGAGUAGUUAUAAAAUAUUCUUGUUCUAAUCCAAGUAGUAGUACAAACAACUCCUACCUAUGGAUGGAGAAUAGCAAUGCAAGUGCAGCAACUGUCUUUUCCCCACCAGAUAGCUGCUCCAUAUCACGGAAGCGCUUUGUUGGGGGCAUAGCAGUGUAUUUGAUGCCAUGUAGAAAUGGAUCAUCGUCAUUUUCCAAGUUUAGGUAUGCUGUUCCACCCAGUGGAUGUGUGUUGCUCUUUGUAAGUUGUUUGUAAAUUUUAUCUAUAUUACCAGAUAUAUGGGUAAAAGCAUCCAUGAACAAGUGGUACCUGCAUCCAACACAAACUUUGGCUUCAUCAGAAGACAGAUAAGAUACAACGAGUUUCUUUCCAAAACAAGGUCCAAAACAGACGGCAAAGAAAACUCCCACAUAUCUCAAUAUAAACUCUUAAGUAACUAGAAUAGAAAUCAAAGAUACACAAAGAAGUCAAAUAAGGAAAGCAUGUCAACUUUUUUUUUUUUUUUUUUUUUUGGUGUCUGGGGGGGUUAACAAAAGGUUAUAGUUUUCAGAAUUAGAAAGAUUGUAAGGGAAAAUGUAGGGCAACACAUGUUCAGCAGAAACUUAUCCCCAACCCCUUCAGUGAAAUUAUCAAAUAAUCAAGUUGACCAGGAGCUGAUUGACCUUUUAGUGGGAAUUUUUUAACAUAAGAUCAUAUUUAUGGAUUUUAUGUAAAGUUACCAUCACAAUUAACAUUGGAUCUUAAAGGAUGUUACUAUCACUGUUCUGAGGGAUCAUAAAGGUUCUUCUGAAUUCUAUUAUGUGAUGCCAAAAUAGUAAAAGGUGGAAGACAGUGAAUGGGUGACCACCCCCAAAAUGCUAUAUAGUAGCAUAGUAGAUUGUGACUUGUGAGGCAGACCCUAAAGCAAGAUAUGAUCUACUAUCUAGAAUGAAAAUAAUUGAAAAGGAAAAGAAUAAAGCACACAAAUAUGCGUGUGGAGUAGCACAUUACAGCAUUUACUCAAAUUUGAUAAAUCACACAAUUUAGUAUAGCAUCAUCUGUUACGCCUUAUUUGGUAUGAAGGAAGGAAAUAAGUUGGUGUUUGGUAGGUGAGACUUAGAGGAAAAUUAAUAUUAAAACUGGUGGGACCCACUAUAAUAUUUCUCACUUAUUUCCACUCAUCUCUCCAUCUCUCUCCUCAUCUCUAUUUCUCUUCCAACCAAACACCUUUUAAUUUUCACUUUAUUUCUCACUUAUUUCCAUUCAUCCUUUUUAUUUUGAUCCACCCUAUUUCUCUCCUCUGCCAAACAGGGCAUUAAAAAUCACUCCUCACUUAUACAAACAACUAGUCAUUUCAUUUUUUCUUUGCAUGUUUUCUGAUGUAAUUUUAAGACUUCUUAAUGUGUCCACCUAAACCGUGCACACUAUAAACUAUUGGCUAGGUACUAAUGUUAUAAAUAAUACAAGUAAUGACAAAUGAAACAAAAAUAGCUUUACCUUCUCUGCUUAACCUCAUUGAAUCUCUGUGUUUUUUCCCUCUCCUCUUUCCUGACAGCUUCAAACUCUUCAGUUACAGCUCUUUCUUUUUCUAGCAGAGCUUCAUAUUGGUCCAAUGCCUUCAAAUUUGGUGCUGUUCUUUCAAUCUCAGAUAUCAAGGCAUCAAUUUUUUGCUUAAACUCUACCUCAAUUUUAUCCCUGUCUGAGUGUCUCCUAUCUUUCAGUGCCCUAUUUAGUUGAUCAAAGUCAAAAGAUGGACCUGGUACUGAGCUAUCAGUAUCCAUAGGAUCCAGUAUGAUCGGGAGGCUAAUCUGUUCUAGUUCACAUUUUUCUAAUAUUUCCUGCUUUUGCACAUUCAACUGAUCAAUCUGUGCCUCCUGUAAAGACAAUAAAGAUGUUGGCUAUCUAUAUUAUGCAGUGUAAGUUACACAAGAGAGAAGAACUGUGCCCAUCUAACCUUAGAGUGUAUCAGACGAUUAAGUUUGGAUAUGUUUGUUGUGGCUGCAGAAGCUUUCUUCUUCCACUCUUGGAUUUCCUUUUCACAAUCUUCUGACUUUGAUUUCCACUCUACAAGAGUAAAAAGAAAAGAGAAAGAAUAAGAUUCCCAUGGAAGAAAAUUGAAGUAAUAGUGGAUCUGUGUUCCCAUCAAUUUCAAAUUGCAAACAGCAAAGGACUACCCAGAUAACCAAGCUUUCACCCCAAUAACACCCCAAAUCCACAAGGGGAAUAAAAAGAUAGCAAAUCCAAAGAAAACACAGGUUGCACCAAAUAUACCUUUAGCUUCUUCCUUAAGUUGAUUAAUCUCUUCCGUAGCAUUCUCAGCUGCUAACUUCGCUGCAGCCUCUCUGUCAUGUACACGUUUUAAAUCUUUCUCUAAAGCACCAAGAGAAGAUUCCAAAUCUUGAAUUCGUGAAUUCAUAUCCCGAUUUUGCUCAUACUCCAACCUGUAGAAUAUUUUCCAAAAAUACAAACAAAUCAAUUCAUGAGUGACUAGCUAAAUAGCAAAUAAAACUGAAAGUUGAGCUCCAAGUAUCUUCUCUUUUUUUCCUCUUCAUCAACUCUCUUAGGUAAUUGAAAACCUUCUGAACAUAAAAGGAGAUGCAGUACAAGAAACUUUGGGUAAGUGAGAACACUAUAUGCAACAAGGACCAUAUUCCAUAUCACUUAACAAAAAGUUCAGUUGAAGAACUAAUUUUGAUGCAGUACAUCAGAAUUUACUCUUGGCUUUUCCACCACAGAAUCAAUGAUUUGAUCCACAUGGACAAACCAGCAAGAGUUAUGAAUCUAAAAUUACUAAUGUGAAAUAGAUCUUAACAACAAAAUAGGUAAUAGCUAUUAGAUAGACAUUUGCUGACCACCCCACUUAAACAGUGAAACAAAUAUACAGACCUAGUCUUCAAUAUAUAAUCCUCCAACUAGUAUUUCUAUCCCCAAGAUAAUAUAGUAAUUAGAUUUUUGUAAAGGAAAAAAAGAAAGAUAGCUUAGCAUCCUAGAAUUGGUUGAACUUCAACAGUUGCAGCUUUCUUCUUUCCUCUUUCAUUUCCAACAAUCUUUUUUUCCUCCAAUUUGAUGGCAGUUUGAUAAUGUAAUACAGUAAUAGUUGUUGGUAUUUAAAACACUUAUAGCAAAGCACAUACAUAUUACUUGUUUGCAAGUUCAUAAAUGCAUUCACACAUGUAAAGUUAUGUACGUCAAGUUAACAAAUAACAAGGUGUAAUUAAAGUAAAAGAGAAGAAGGAACACACUGAUAUUUUAAUUUUGAGAGUUGGCUACUCAGGUUCAGCCUCUCCUCUGCUAUACUUUGAGCAGCCUUGAGUCGAUUUUCUUCAUACUCACGGAUGUUUGCAACCCCAACUGACUUGCUGAAGUCUCUGUAUAUCCUGUCAGUAAUUUCAUUUAUCCUCUUCUCAAGCUUACGUACAUCUGCAUUGCUCUUGUUAACAGCAUCAUUUAACUGCAGAGCAUAAACACCAAAUAACCAGUUAAAUAUAGAAGAAUAUUGCUAAGAAUGAACUAAGGAUAUGUAAAUGCCACCUUCUGCAGGUCUGGACUGAUGCAUUCAAUUCUUUCUUUGAUGGUCUUUUUUUCUUGGCUCAAAUUUGAAAGUUUAUCUUCAAUGCUUCGCUGGAAAAAUUAAAAGCAUAGAGAUAAAAUACUUGAAAUAUUCCAUAUGGAACAAAAGACAUAACUUCAAACACACAAUCCUUAAUUAAUGUUAACUUGCCUUUAAUUGGUGCAUGUUUUCAAAAAUAAACAACAAAAAGUGCAAUUUUAACUAUUUUUGCAAGGACAGAAUAUGACCAGUUAGAUUUCUCAUGCCUACAAACAAACUACAGCCUCUUCCCCUAGUUACUUCCUGCUAAUUAAUGCUGAUAUUUUAAUGCCUAUGAUUAUUAAAUUUUAAUCUAAAAACUUAUGAAACAAUUGGAUGAAGUUUGUGCUACUAGAGUUUGGGUGGAACUUAUUCAUCCUCAAUAUAAACUAGCCAAAAAUCCAAUAAACCCUGCUUUACUUGGACAUUUAUUGUAUCCUAGUUAGAAAUUAAAAGACUUGCAGCUUCCAAGUUUGAUUGUACCUUUUCAAUCUCAGCAUAUUGAAUUUUCUUCUCAAGUCCACUAAUUUUUCCAGAUGCUUCAGACUCUUUAAGGUGCAUAUCUCUUAUUGAUCCUAGCUCUUCCAAUUCUGAUUCAUACUGCUCUUUCUUUUUAUUAAGUCCUGAAAAACAACAUGAUUAUUGCAAGAGCAAAAGCUUUGAAUUAAGUUUUAAAAAAAAAUGAUAAAAACCUUCAAUUUUCUUGUCAUCCCACUGUUUUGACCUUGCUUCCAUUCCACCACUAGUGCCCCCAGUCAUUGUGCCAGAUUUUGUCAACAGAAUUCCGUCCACAGUUACAACUAAGCAAAUCAAAUUACAUAGAACAAUGUUCACUAAUUUUCAAUCUAACAAGCAUGAUUGUAUUAAAUGCACCAGGAAUGCAUCACAAGCAUAAUAAGUACACAAUAGGAUUCUCCUGAAGCCAAAAGGUUUGUUAGAUAAGAAACAAAAUUACAAAACAACAAAGAAACACAAAGUGCAAAGACCAUAGAGUCAAGUAAAAGUUAUAAACUGGGUGCCAAAAAAGUAAGGAGAAUGAGAAGCCAGAGGGGAAAAUACAUGGGGAUCAAAAUGGAACAACAUCCAAGUACUAUCAUUAAGCUCUAAUGGCAUGUCAGUAAGAAGGCAAAGAAUCUGUAGAUAAUAGAAAGAAAAAAGGUCUUGUUACCUUUAAACCUCUCACCGCUCCAGCUUAAAAUUUUGGCCUCCUCAAGAUCAUCACAAACUAGAGUAUUCCCAACAGCAAAGAGAAUUGCCUUCUCCAAGGAGGGAUCAAACUUGCACUAGUUAAGUAGAAAAGCUUAAAGCACUUCAGCUUAGAGGUGUAUAAUUAAGUGGUUUGACAAAAAGCAUGAAAUUAAACUUUAUGAUGGGGUAUUCAUGAGAAGGAAAGAAGAGAAAAUACAUGAAUGAUUUAUGCUCAAUGCUUAAUAGACCACCUAAUUAUAAUCCAAGAAUGCAUCUGUCCCUAUAGGAAUUCAUUAAUUCAACAGUAUGUCAAAUAGCAUUUUGAUGAGACAUGAGAGGAAACUACUGAAAAAAAUCUGCAAAUCUGAAAAAAAAAAAACUAUAUAUCUUAUUAGGGAGAGGAUUUGAUUUUAGUGAGCUACAGGAAACAGCACCGACAACAGAAGCUAAAGCAUAAAGCAAUACGCAACAAGAGGGGUGAGGACAACGUAACAAUAGAAAACUGUUAAAAACUACCAAAACCAAGUGGCCAGCAAACUCUGAUGAUGUUAAGAUGACAGCAGCUCAAUGCAUCACAAUGACAGACAUGGUUACUCCACCCACAGAAACAGCCAUUUGCAUGAUUUUGUUAUCUAAGGAGAUUGCACAUUCCUUUAGGAUUUUGAUCAUACAAUUCAAAGGUGGUAUGAAGCAUACAACAACCUUAUUCCACUGAGUGAGGUCAACUACAUGGGUCACACAUCGCCAUUCACCUCAAAGCAGGAAGCAUGUAAACCAAAAAUAUUUUAUAACUCCUUUGUGCCUUCCCAGAUUCAGAAAUUUUCAAGCAAUGUGGUUAACAUCAAACAUUGCUAAUUUUUUGAAUUAGUCAAAACUCAAAACAAUAAAAUCAUGAUUUACAAGCUAUCUACAGAAGGUAAACUUCAAGAAAACUUCGGUUUAUAAGAACAAAUUUAAAUAACAAAUUUGCAAACACGAUCAGAACCAAAUUCUUCAAAGUAGCCACUGGAGAAAAAAGGAUAUUGAAUCACGUCAAAAAUCAGUUUUGCUGUACCCCGUAAUGUGCGCAAUCUUUCCAUUAUUGGCUUCACCCGAACUGAUUCCAGAGGAAUAAAUGUCUGGGGAGGAAGCCUCUGAUCUUUUAAAUACUGAAAAGCAAAGAAAUCAAUAUUCCAAUCAAUAUCAAUACAUAUAACAAUAAGAAACCAAUUAUAGAGCUUCAAUAUUCAAACAGGCAAAGUUGCAAUUUUAACACCAAAUUCUAGCUAUCAAGCAAUUAUAUUUAUAGCAAUCUGGUCAGUGCAACCAAAGAGCAGUGUCAAACAUAACAUAAAUUCCACUGGAAUGACAGAUGCAGCAAGUGAGUUCUAGUCAUCAAGGAUGAAAAGACAACAAAAUGAAGGUCCACCAGUUAGAAGGCACCAAACAAGCUUAAAGUUUGGGCCUCAGUUAAAAAGGUGCUUUUUCGGAAGUCCAUAAUAUUUUUUUUAUUUUUGUAUUUUUUUUCAGAGCUCAAGGAGUGCUCCUACGCAUAUACAUCACUAAAUCAAUUAAUGCUGCUUUGGCUUCUUUUUUUUACUUAUUCAUGCUGUGUGAUCACCAAUAUUCAAAUCAAAAGCAACAAAAACCCAUCAACAAUAAAUAGAAUAUGAUCUCUAAAAGAUGACUUGGCAAUCAUAAAAUCAAAAGGAUAAGGCAAAAUGGCAAAAAAAACAGAAUAUUAGGAAAACUUAUUAGGACCUUGAUGCAUUCCUUCCCAGUCUUUUCAUUAUCAACUACGACUGCAUCCAUAAAUUUACCCAUAGCAACAGUAACAGCUAGGUUAUACUUCUUCUGUGUUGGUCUACAAAGAUCAGUCAUGCGACCAUGAACUCCUUGAAACAGGCGUUUUAGAGUCUCAACAGCCUGAGACAACCUAACAUCUCUCUCAUUUUCAUAUCUAUCAGCCUUCAAUUCACGUAGUUGAUUUUCUAAUUCACCAAUUUUUAACUUCAAAUUUUCAUAUUUUUUCCUGCAGAUCAAAAGUAGCACACGCCAUUACAAAAAUAUCAUCAGUAAAGUACUUUAGCGCAGUGGGAAGCUUUAACAAUUCUCAAAAAAAAAAAAAAACAUUGAAUAACAUGUUAAUUUACUUGGAAUCACGAUGUUUGUCCUGCAUCACGCGUAGUUCUUUUUUCAAGUUUUCAAGGCCAACUUUAUUUUUUGCAGAAUUAUCAAGAAUUUUUUCAAGCCUUGCUCGCAUCUGUUCUUCCUGCGAAUUCAGUUCAGACUCCCUGUUUCUUAACUGUUGAAGAUUUUCUUCCAAGUUCUUUUGAGCUUCACUAUCAGCGUUAAGUUUCCUAUCUAGAAGCUCCUUUUCCUCUCUAAGCUUUGCAGUUUUCAUUCCAGCUUCCUCUUUGCUGUAAUGCAACAUUGCAACAUCAUUAUUACAAGUUCCAAAACAGAAAAAUGUAAUGACAAAUGAAAACUUAACAUGCAUCAUAAGUGAUAACUACUAAGUACUGACAAAUAAAUUUUUAACUGCUCAGGGAGAACAAAUUGGCUACCAGAAGACAGAAUUGAUGAAAUUCAGAGCAAAUUAUGUAAAAAAUAUAUGUUUCUUAUCAGGAAGUUCCAAUUGAGAACACAUGGCCAAACCUGCUAAUGAGAGGCAAUUGGUCAUUGAAUGAAAUACCAUAUACAAGCAACACUAUCUACACAAUUUUGGCUGAUAUUAGUCAAAAUCACCAUGAAUACAUGUUCCAACUUCUGGCUAAUGACACUUGCUUUCCUUUUCCUUUUCAUUACUACACUAUCCAACUAAUGCACAAUUUUAACCAACAUAAAAUAAAGGAUUUUCCUUCAAGUAACAGAAAAUAAUAAACAGAAUUAACAAAAUAGUUUUAACUUGUACCCUAACAAUCUAGCUCACAAAUUAUCUCAACAGAUCGGCAUAAUCAAAUAACAUGAGUACACGGUAUAUGUGGCAGACAUGAUUUUAAGUGCACGCCAAAACUCAAUAGCAUUAAAGUUUUCUCUGAGCACAAUGCAAGUAUUCUGUUUCCCAAAAAAGGGGAAAUAUAUAUAUAUAUAUAUAUAUAUAUAUAUAUAUAAAAAAAAGAGAGAGAGAGAGAGAGAGAAAGGCGGCAGUAGGCAAACAGCUACAGCAAAUAAAGACUCACAUGCGAAAAUAUUCUUCCAAGUCAUUGCCUUGCAAAUCAAGCUCGUCAUCAACAUCUCGUCCCUUUUCCUGAAGGUCUGCCAUUUUUGCUGUAAGAUCCUGGAUGUCAUUCUGUAGUAAUGCUAUAUCAGCAUCAUGCUUCUUCCGUUCAACCUUUUUUUUAUCAAGCUCUUUCUUCCCUUUUUUAAUUUUUGAAGUUAUACGAGUCAUUUCCUCCUUUAACUUCAGAAGCUCAGGUUGCUGCCAGGAGGGAGGAAAACCAGAGAAACAAUCCCAUAAACUAUUCAGUGUAUUUAAGAGCAUAACAAAUACAAUCAACAAUAGGAUUACAGGAAAACCUAAAAGAAAUUAGCUAGAUGAUUUUCAGAUACUCCCAAAUCUUUUAUCUCUAUUUUGUGUCUAAAGGAGUUGUCAUCCUUACAGCCCUCGCUGUUCCCAGAUUAACAAAACCAUUUUCCAAAUCUUAAAAUUGCAAUUUUCAACCCAGUUUUCUUCAAAACAAAUAUGACCAAAAGCAGCAAAGUUCAAAGAGUAAAACAUAGAAUCAACCUAUGUAAAAAGUUCAAUGGCUGGAGUUGAUAAUAGUAUGAUGACAAUGAUCUUAACUUAUAGUCCCCCCACCCCAAAUGUAGAAAAAACACUUACACUCUUGUCAAGCUUGUUGCCUUUCUCAGCAAUUCUCUUUUCACGUAGUGCAAUCUCUUUCAGAUAUUUAGCCUGCUCUUUUUUCUUUUUACUAGCUUCACUUUCAAAGUAUUCUAGCUCUUUAACAACACCUUCACGGCUUUUUUCCUCAUCUUCAAGAUCCUUAAUUGUUUCAGCAUAAUCGUUGUGUAUAUUAAACAACUUCCACAAGAAAUGUUCUCCCUUCAUAGAUUUCUGCAAGAGAAAAACAGAGAUACUUGAAAACUUCACCUUCCACAAUAAGUCUGAUGACUGAUAGAGAAAAUGCAUGAAUUGUUGGUAGUUGCACAAAUGACUCCUAGUUGAAAAUGAAGUAGAACUGUAGUCCAGGAAUGUAAUCAUAUCUUUUAUUCAGUUGAAAGUAAAAAAAUAUCUAUAGUUACUUGAUCAAACAUACUGUAGUGAUAUAGUUAGCCACCAAUUCCAACCACUGCAGGGGUUGUAGAAAACUCAGGUACAAAGAUUAUUUAUCAAAGAAAGUAGAAACUAUACACUUACGCGCAGCUUAAGCAAUUUCAAUGAAAGGGGAAACAGAAACAGGAGACACGUAAAGGUCACUCAAAGCGGAACCUAUAAUUUGUUGUCAGUAGCCUUUGGAUCUUCAAGAGAAAGUUCCACUUUCAAUCAACUAUCUCUAUCAAGUAUCAAACCCAGUCAAUGGAGCAAUGGAGGUGGGAAGAACUCAGAAAAGCAGUGAAGUCGUGGAAGUGUUGAUGUAAGAAGGGUGAUAGAAAACUGAAGGUGAAACUUUUACUUUUUUUACUUCUUAUAGUUAAUAGAAGUGAGGGCGAGCCCUGGUGCAGCGGUAAAGUUGUGCCUUGGUGACUUGUUGGUCAUGGGUUCGAAUCCGGAAACAGCCUCUUUGCAUAUGCAAGGGUAAGGCUGCAUACAACAUCCCUCCCCCAUACCUUCGCAUAGCGAAGAGCCUCUGGGCAAUGGGGUACGAAGUUUUUAUAGUUAAUAGAAGUGCCAUCCUGCCAUGGUCCAAUUAGCCAUGUGGCAGAAGAAAGUACAAUAAAACAUAAGCUUAAGGCUAACCCAAGCAAAUGAAACUACAUCAAACUAAAAUAGGCCAAUUGGAACCACGGGCAACCUACACCUACACACAUAAACAAACAUAAAUUGAAACAGAUCCCAUUACCAGUUCUUGUUGCAGGCGGAGAUGCUUCUCUGCUUCUUCCUUCUGUUCUUUCUUCUGUUUUCUCUCCAUAACCACUGUCUUCUUUUUCUGAUAAACAAGCGCUGAUUUUUCCUCAGCAGCACCUUUCUCCUCCUCAAACUGCUCAUAGUCCCUCUUGCACUCAUCAGAGCCGGAUAUCUGCUCCACCAGUGCAGUGAGCUCUUUGGGAUUCUUCGAUGCAAUAGACUCCACAUCACCCUGCACAAUUUAGCAUUGUCAAUUGAGACCUGUAACAGAUAUAAAACAUGUUUGGAUAAACUUCAGUUCAGAGUUUAAAAUCUAGGAAGCAUAGACACUUCCGAUGAAUGCCGUGCACACGUGUCGGACACGUUUCCAACACUCCUCGGACACCAUGUCAGACACGUUUUUGUGGUGUCCAAUUUUUUAAAUUUUUUUGGGGGGCUUGGACACACUGCGGACACUUCUCCAAACAGUUGGACAUGCAUCGGACACUUCUCUGGACACAGUGGACACUUCUCUGAUUUUUUUUUUAUUAAAAUUUUAAAAAAUCAACCUAAAAGAUUAGAUUAUAAAAAAUUCUUUUUAAAAUUAGCCUAUUUUGAUAAACUCUUUCACGUAGCAUUCUGCCUUCUUCUCUUCUAUUCACAUUUACGGUUUGCCCCUUUUGUACGACAUCAUCCAUUCACAUUCUUGAGUACGCCUGUCACUGGUUAUUUUCCGCUCAUCAUUGCCUCGUCAGAGUCUAGUCGUCUUGCUUGGCUGACUUCACGUUCAUGGUCCCUCUAUUCGUCACUUCAUUUUGUUUCCCUUUGUUCAUGCAUUUUUGGUACACCCUUUGUUCGUCUUAUAUAAAUCCUAAUUAUCAAUUUACAUUUUUGUCAUGUUGAUCAUAUAUAUAUAUAGGAGGGGAUCCACUUCCUCCAAGAGUAACUCUUUUAGAUUUACUCCUCAUCCUCACCAUUUAUUUUCUUAAGAUCUAGUGGUUGUAAUAAGUAACUAAUCUUAAUCAUUAAAUCUCAAGAAAAUGAAUGAUGAGGAUGAAGAGUAACUCUAAAAGUUACUUUUGGAGUAAGUGGAUCCCUCCAUAUAUACACACACACAAACACAAACACACACACAUAUGCUGUGUCCCCAUGUCCUAUGUUUUAGAUUUUAGCUGUGUCCUGGUGUCUAUGUCAUGUUCUGUGCUUCAUAGUUUAAAAUAGCAUUGCUUUAGUGCCGGAGUAGAGUGGCCCCUGGCGGCUACAAGUGCCGCCAUAGUGAAGGGUUUCAGUGUAACAGCUGUAGCGGACCAAGAAGCAGCUGUAGCAGACAGGAUAGUGGUUCUGUGAGUUGUUUCCAGAAAAGCCCUUUGAAUAGAUAAUUAGGGCUUUUUUAGGGGGCUAUUCUUGGGAUUUCAAUUUCCAAAAUGAAAUGUACAGCCAUAAUAGUAGUGAAAAUGAUAAAGAAGAAGGCUUAGAUUUUAAAGAUGAUGAUUGAUGAUUCCUAUCUAAGAAACCUAGUAUUUGACCUUUGUUGAUAUUUAGUUGUAUGUUUUGCUUAAGAUCACUAUUAUGACUUUUUAUUGUUAAUUAUGAAUUACGAAUGCCAUGAUUUUUAGAGUAAUUUUUAUUUAUUUUUGGGAAUUUAUCUUAGUAUAGUGUAACAAUAGAAACUAUCGCACUCUAGCAUUUUUCAGGGAUAUAAAAAUAAAACAGUGCUUCUCCAUAGAAACCUAUAUUCACGUCAGCUUUUGGAGAAGUAAAACAAUAGAGCUUCAAUAAAAGUUAAUUGCACAGAAAUGGGGAAAAGAAACGAAGCAGAACCUGAAAGACCAAGAAAUUGCGAGCUUUGACGAGAAUGCCUAGGGACUUGAGUCUGUUGUUGUAGGUCUCCCAAUUGACGAGGGAUUCGUCGAUGCGGUACUCGCUGGCGCCGGCGCUGGUGAUGGUGCGGGUGAACUUGAUCUCGGUGGAGUUGGCGAGGUGGUAGACGAGGCGGACGAAGGCUCUGCGGCCUUUCUGCUCCUUCUCGCGGUCGUCGAAGGCGUAGAUGAGGUCCUUGAGCUGCGCGCCGCGGAGCUGGCCAGUGCGGACGCCGAGGACGAAGCUGAUGGCGUCCAUGAGAUUGGACUUGCCGGCGCCGUUGGGGCCGAUGAUGGCGGUGAAGUCGUAGAAGGGACCGAUCACUUGGAAGCCCUUGUAGGACUUGAAAUUCUCCACCUCGAGGCAGUGGAUUUUGCCCGGGGAGAGUAGCGACGGCAUCGUGAAGUUCGUGAAACCCUAGGUCGAAUCGAAGGUGCGGUUCCGGCGAGAGUGGAGUGAGGUUAGGGUUGGAAUUGAAUUGGGGAAAGGGAAAAUUGGCGGGAGAGGAAACCCUAAGAAAGAGUAGAGUGCGUCGUUAGUCGUUACGUAGCUAGAAGGGAAGAGAAUGACUCAAGCAAAUCCCACUCUUCUCAGGAAUCUUCGCCGCUUGCUCGCGUCAUCGUAGCUCUUUAGAUUUUUGCCUUAUGAUCGUUGAUGGCGGGAUUGAAAGUGGAUUUGAUAUAACAAAAACAAAUUAUUUUUGUUCUUACUCCACUCUACUUUUAAAAUCUUUUUUACUGUGUUACAUGAUUUAGUUCUCGCCGUUAGAUUGAACAACUAAAUGUUAACAUUAAAAAUGUCAUUUAUUUUUAUUUGAAUUAUUUAAUAGGAGUUCAUUUUUUUAUCACUAAAAUCCGUCAAAAAUUAUUACACUCUUUUCUGCAAUGGACUUGAGUAUACGAACUCCAAUACCAAUACAACAGUGACAACAUACAUCAAACACAACCCUCAUUUUUCUUUUCCUUUUUUCUCUCGUCUCGAUCUCUCAAGAACUAGACAAACCACGAUUUUUCUCUUUAACAUGCACAACAUGAGAAUCCAUUUUCCUAAUUUCUCUCAGAUAUGGAUUUGUCAAAUAUGAUUUUUUUAUCGCAGGUUGAAACUGAAAUCUAGAUUUGGAUUUGUCUAAUAUGGUUUUUUUUAUGUCAUUAUUAUUUUGGGUUUUGGGUGAUUGAUUCAAUUGAGAAGUUCUUUAAUGGGAUUGUUGCCUAAAUUGGGGCUAGGUUAUUCACAAAAGUAUUAGAUUGUAAGAGAGAAGUAAACUUUGGAGGUUUUAAACCGCAAAAAAUUGUUUAAUACUUUUUCUAAAAUGCCAUUCAAGUAAUUUCUAGCAGUUUAUAACCGCCAGAGAACACGACCAAUCCUGAUGGAGUAAGCCAUGGGUGUCCCAAACCAAGUCUCUAAUGAAAAGAGUAAUUGUCUUUAUUAAUAGUUAUAAAUAUCUAUCUAUCAUUAAAAAACAUUUUUUUGAGAAGAUGAAAAUCCACACAAGAUGCGUCUCAAGUAUACAAUAAUUUAUGACCACCAGGUACUUGAAAAUAUCCCAGAUCUAGUUACACUCGUACCUCCCAAUAAAACAAUAACAACCAUCCAUAUGCCCCAAAACAUAUCACUAAACCACCCCUACCACCUCCAUAAAAAAACAACCCUCUUACAAAUACACAUUCAUAGUGUUGGCUUCACCUCACAUAUGAUAAAAUACAUUCACUUUACCUCGGUCUCUGCAAAACACAUUGGAAAAAUUCAAAGCUUCAUACAUAUCCCAUCAUCCGUACAACACCCAGGACAUUACCUUCCAAAACCAAGCAGACAAUUUCCACGACCCCACUCCAAAGUCAGCCUCAAACUUACAAUCAAUUAUCCAUUGUAAUAUACAAUUAGUAUGCAUUUUUCUUCUCUUCCUCGUUUUUGUUUCCUUUUUCCCAUCUUGUCCAAAUUAUUGAAAGGACACAAUCCAGAUGUUGCUUGUAUUUGAGAGAAUCAAAUUGCAUGCAGAGGUAUCAUGAUCAAAAUCAUGCUUAAAAGAGUUACCAGUGUUAACCAAACUUUACGAUCCAUAAUUCAUUGCAUGAACUCAACAAUUCACAGUGUCCUCAAAUAAACAACCCAAAUUAACUUCCAUUGUGUGGGUGAAUAAAAAAACAAAUAAGUAAAGAGACAUUGGAACAUUGUCAUGUUCAAAGGAUUUUAGUUUAGGUCAAAAGUUUUUCCAAUGGAGAGUGAGAGAAAGGGGGGGAAGCAAAUAGGUUGAUUGAAUAGGCUGGUGGAUUUAAUUAUUAUGUUAGGGUCAAUACAAAAUUCAUUUCCACAUUCGUGAGCUUACUACUUAGCCUUUUUGCAGGAAACACAUAAUGCUAAACGGGAUAAUCGGUUAUAGUUUGAAGGAUAUCACAAAAGUUCAAAGUCCCAUAUUAUUUAGAAUAACUCCCAUAUUAUUUAGAAUAACUUUGGCCAUGUAUUUUUCUUUCUUUUAUUGAUGCCAAAAAUUAUAAUUUUUGAAACAAAUACUAUAGUUUUAAAACCAUGACAAAUCGUAUUUUAAAAAAAUUAGUGCACAUAAAAUCAGAAAGGGGUAUAUGUAUAAAAAGUUAUAUUAAAAAUGUUUUUAUGCUUGAUUUGAAAAAAGUUAUAUUAAAAAUGUUUUUAUGCUUGAUUUGAAAAAAGUUCAUGUAACAACACAAAGAACAAAGUAUUUAAAAGACAAGCAUACCAUCAUCUUUCAUCUUUCUCUUAUUCCUUGUCCAUUACCUGCAGGUCCCAAUAACCAUAUCAUGUCAUAUGUUUCAAAUUCAAAUUAUCUAUUAGUUAUAAUAAUCUUAUCAUGUAUUUCAAAUGUAUAUUAUCAACUAGUUAGCUUGUAUGUAUUUUAUAUUCUGAGUCCUAAUAAAAUAUAAUAAUAAUGUAAAUUAUAUUAAGAUAAUUAAUAUUAAAAAAUAUAUUUUAGUAAAUUUUAUAUUAUUGUAUUUGUGUUGUCAUUGUUAAUCAAACAAUGCACAUGAUAAAAAAAAUCGUCUAAUAAUUCUAGUAUUUGUCCUAUGUUGUUCUCGUUGUUCUAUUACAUUUUUAAUGUCUUAAAUUUGAUAUAUAUUAAUGUAUAAAUGUAGUUAUAUAUAACAUGUUGAAUAAAAUUUUAUAUAAUAUGUAUAUGCAGAAAAUAAACAUUGAUAUAUUGCAUAAAUUAAUUUUAUAUAAUACAAAAUGCAUUCGACAAAGGUAUAUGUAUUUUUAUUGUGUUAAAGUAUUAUUAUAAUUGUUAUAUAUGUGAGUGGUUGUACCAUACAUUUUUAAUAAAUAUAAACUAAAAUUAAUAUACAUGUCAUAUUAUAAAUUAAAAAAUUAUAAUUUAGUCUAAAAAAAUUAUAAUUUAGUCUAAAAAAAUUAUAAUUUCUCUUAUAAGGAUGACACGCUAGAUUAAGAGAUAGUAUACAAUUUAGAUAAGAGCAAAAAUUAAAAAAAAAACAAAAAAAUUGGGAGCUUAAUUAACUAAUUGCUAGAUUUUUAAAUCCAAAAAUAUUAUUAUUUUAAGUGAGAGAAUGUCUAAUUAACAAAUAUUUAGGGCUAACUUAGGCAUAAUAAAUGUUGAAUAUAAGGAUAAUUUGAACAUGGCGAUAUCUCUUUAACUAUUUAAUCCUAUAUUCUUUAAUUAUUUAAAACAUAAAAAAAAUUGAUUUUUUUCAUGGAAAUUUAUGCACAAUGAUAUUUUCUAAUGUUUAUUUUAUGUUAUAUUAGUUGACAUUUACUGUUAAAAUAAUUGCUUUAUAUUUGUUAACUGUUUGAUAAGUUAUUUCUUCAUAUGUUUAAUGAUGAAUAAUAAACCACUAUUAUGUAAAAACUGUUUUUUUUCAUAAAAAAAAAUUCAAACCACCCCACUAAUAUGUUUUUGGCUUUUUUAAAAAAAAUAAACGACUAUUAUUUAAAAAUUGACAUUUUUUAAUUUUAAAAUUCUAAACUACUAUUAUUUAAAAACUUUCAUUUUUUAUUUUAAAAGUUCAAACUACUAUUUGAAAACAUCUAUUUUUUAAAAAUUUUAAAACGCCAAACUAUUUAAUAUUUUUUUGAAUUUUUAUAUUUUAGACUAUCCCACUACUCUCUUCAUUUCUUAAAUGAACCACUAUUAUUUUAAAAUUGUCAAAUUUUUUGAAUUUUAAAAUUCUAAUAUACUAUUAUUUAAAAAAAAAGUAUUUUUUAAAAUUUAAAUUUUCGACGUAUCACUACUAUUUUCUUGCUUGAAUAGAAACCUUUCAUGUAUAUUUCAUUGAAAACCCUAUGUCAGUAACAACACACGAUGAAGUACAAGAUUAUGUUUUCCAUUACGAAUAUAUACUGAGACAAAAGAACAUGGAAUUAUUAAAUCUUUUAAAGCUGCCUUUUAUGUACUUUGUUCUAAGGGUAAUGGACAAUUGGAGGCUAUGAAGAGAAGAAAUUUACACGUGGUUGAUAAAAUUAGAGCAGGACAUUGCUAGAAGUAUACAUAAAAUUAGAAAUAAAAUAAAUAUUAAUAGUCAAGUUUUGCUUCUCUCAAUAAAUAUCAUAGCAAAUAAAAUAUAAAUAUUGUAGGUUAGACAUGGAAGAUUAAUAGUCUCAAAUAUGGUUUUGCUUCAACCAUAUUUUCUUGGUUGGACUUAGAUGUAUUGUUCCACUAAUGUAUUUCAAAAAAAUAGUAAUUAAUAAUGUAUACAAUAUACAUACGCCAAUAAUACUGAAAUAUAUUGAAUAAUACCUUGUGCAUUUUCAUUUCUUUCACCUAAUCACUCACACUUGUUCUAUUCUGUUUGAUGCCUUGUAGGAGAGUGAUAUAUGAAUGCAAGAAUUUUGUUCGUGUUUGACUGUCUGUUUUGUGCAAUCUCGAAGGCCAUGUGAAAUUACUAUCUUCCCACAAAGACUUCCUGAUUGGAAUAAUGAUGGUGUUGCAAUGUGGUCAGAGAAAGGGAUAUAACAUGAGAGCAAGAACAUGAAGGACCGAUUAAGAGAAAGUGUGCACUUACUUACUUGUUAUAGUAGCCACCCUUCAACUUGCUAUGUAACCAUUAAUCAAUGGCUCAUAAUGUAAGAGAAAAUAUAAAAAAUAAAUAAAAAAUCACUAAACAUUAUUAAAUUGAUAUGUGCAAUGAAUUGGAAUCACAUAUAGUUGCUAAAAGCGCAUGUGUCCUUCACUAAUUUGAAAAUGUUUUCCUUCAAUGAGUUAAAUUCUGCUUGAAAGUGUUGUAGAUUGAGAAAGAUAUAUAACAAUAUAGAAAUAAAGUUGUGCACUGAGAUAAUUGAGAGAGAGAGAGAGAAAGAAAGAGAAAUGGAAAUAAAAAAUUGGUGAUAGGAGAUUCAUUGGUUAAUUAUAAUUGUGGGCAGGUCAAAGAUUAAAAAAACAUAAGAAGAAGAAGAAAUUAAUUGUUAUCUUUGUAAUUCGUAGUGAAAGGGAAAAUGUUUCUCAAAAAAAGUGGGAAAAAAAUAGUAGAAAUUUUUAGAUUUGUAUAAUUAUUUUUUAUUUAUUAAGGGCAUAAUAGUCUUAUAAAAAGAGAGAUAAAAAAAGUGGUUACCAACAUCAAUAUUUCCUUUAUUUAUUGUUAUGUUAAUAUAAAAUUGUGUAAAAUUAGUUAUGGUUGUUAUUUUAUUGUAAUGAUUAAAGCAAUAAUUAGUAUAAAAUUGUGUAAAAUUAAUUAUGUGUUUGUUAUUUUCAUAAUAAUAAAUAAGAUUAUUAUUAUUUAAUAUAAAAAUUAGUUUCAAUGUGUAAAAAAAUUAAACAUUUAAACAAUUAUAAAGAAGAAAAAACUACAGUCCGUUUUCAUAAGGUUUCUAAAUCCGUCCUUUAUAUAUAUAUAUAUAUAUAUAUAUAUAUAUAUAUAUAUAUAUAUAUAUAUAUAUAUCCAAAGUUUUAGCCAAGAGGAAAGAAUUCUUUUAGGUUUCCAAAAGUUUUGGCUAAAACUUGGGGAGACUAUAGAUUAUCACUUCUUCACAUACAACAGUUAAAAUUUAAACCUAAAAAAAAUGCUCAUUUUUUUUUAUCCACGCUUCUUGAAAUUAAGAAAAAAAAAUAUUUCAUUUUCUUAUAAAUUCAAUAUUGUUUCUUUUAGAAGUCAUACUUUUUUUAUUUGUAAAAAUUGAACAUGAUACUAAAAGAUUUACAACACUCAUACAUUCUGUUCAAUCAACUAACUCAAAUAAACCCCACAUGUUUAUUAUUAAUUAUUUUUUCAUUUUUAAAUUUAAAUUGCUUUGAAUUAGUUAUGCAUAUAUAUAUAUAUAUAUAUAUAUAUAUAUAUAUAUAUAUAUAUAUAUAUAUAUGCAAUCAGUACUAUGAUGCACAUAAUGCUAGAUGUUCCAAUAAGGGGAGAAAGGAAAUCUAAACUUCAAGAAAGGGGAGAUGAUCCUUCUCAAGUUUUAGAGCGCAUCAACUAUAAUGCAUAUAAGAUUUGAUUUAUCACCAGAACUAUGGUGUGAGCAACACAUUUAAUGUUCCUGGCUUCUCUUUGUGAUAUUGGUACCUUUGACAUCUAUUGUAGGGCUAAUUCUUCCUUCCCAAGCAAAGAAGGGAAUGAUAGAGGACUAUCCCAGGAAGAAAAAUUUGGCUUGGAUUGACUCAACUAGAUAGAAGAAGAAAUAAAGAGUAAAAGAAACAAAGCUCAUAAAUUUUAGUCAAACUUUUAGGAUAAGAUUUAUUUUCGUUUUUAACGACAAUUUGGACUUAUUUUUGGACUUGUAAUGGGCUACUACCUUUUAUUGUUAUUUUUAAGUCUUUUAAUUAUCAUAUUAGUUAUUGGGCCCUAGGGCUUACUUUAGGGUUAUUAGUAGGAGUUACAAAUAUACUUCUUAAACACUUUGUUAAGAGUUUUUUUUUAAUGAAAUUUCAUACUAAACAUCGUCAAAAUAGUGGCUCUCUUGAUUCUUGUGUAAAAUCUUAGUUUCUUAUCAAAGAAUUUUAUUUUGUGGCGAAUUAUCCUCAACUUAUCAAUCUUUCAAGAUUGUGGUAUUGUUCUUUCCAUCUUCUUUUCUAAUUCUGUUUUUUUUCUUUUUAUUUUCUCCAAUUUCAAAGAGUCUCAAAUAGAUUCUCAAAUUUGUUGAUGCUAAAAAUUAGAUCCGAAAAUUAGGGUUUCAUCAACGCUAAUCCUUACAAAUGUAAAAAAAAAAAAAAUAGCAUUGAUGCUUGAUUCUUAAAUUUAAUGGGCACGAUUUUUUAUUAAGGAAAAAAGAAUAUAAAUAUCUAGGAUGGAGACGACCUAAAUGUGGGAAUAUUGUUUAUAAUAAUGCAAAAUGUUAACCAAGAAUUUAUUUUAAUCAUGUGUAUAAAAAAGACUUUAUUAAAAAAAUGUUAUAUUUAUUUUAUUGAUUCUACAUCUUAAAAAGAUUAAUUUCAUAAUAAAAAGCAUUACCCCUUAUCCUUUCAGGAUGAAAAGGGGGUACUGUUUGAGUUUUAUGGGUGCAAGAAACUACUAUAGUGGCUGUGGUUGGGCCAUUGCCCUUGCUGGUUUUUUUUAUUUGCACCGAUGACAAAAAAAAAGUCACACGACAAGUUUGCCCCUAAAAUAUUACAUAUUCCCGAGAACAUCCCUUAUCAAACAAAAGAACCUACGAAUCGCAUGAAAAGCGGCAUUGAGUGAGAGUGCUCCCUCUCCUCUCUUCUCUUCUGUUCAAACAAUGUCGCAAACGUUGCAUGCUUUCGUCGCCAAAAAUCUUGGUUAGUGUCUCACUUCUCUCUGCUUCAUUUGUUUAGCUUAAUUUACAAAUUAAACACUAGGGUGUUUUCAAUACGCGUUUCAAGUGACAUAAAUUUUUGUCCUUUUUCAAUGAAAUUCGUAGCCUUAUGAAUUUACGAUUGAAAGCUUCUUACCCUGUGACUGUUUUCUUCUUUUUGUUGCUGUUCUGUAUUUAAUGAUUUCUUAACCCCCAUCAUGUGUGUUGUUACUUGUGUUUCUAAUCUAUUGGCGUGGCUAUUAAGGGCUUUUGAGGCUUCAUCCUUUUGGGGAAAAUGAUAUUUUGAGUUUGGGUUUAUGAUAGAAUGUUGUUUGCGUUGCUGGUUUUGAAACUGGCUCAUAUUGCCCACUAUCUAUUUGUUGAACAGUAAUGUUAUAUCUACACCAGGAUUUCUCUUGGUAAUUGAGAUGUUAAUGAACAUAAACCAUUAGGCAAACGAUAAACGAGGGGAACUAUUGAACUAAUAAUUUACAUAUAAGUAACCAUGUGUAGAUCCCUUUGGUCUCAAAUAUAAGUAACAAAAACCUCUUAUAUUUUGUUUCAAAUAUAAACAAAUCUCAACUAAAGAAGUCUUAUUUAAUGAGACUAUCUUCAAAAUACUCUUCUUUUAAUAAGACCAAAAACUUUUUUUUUUUAUGUUUGAUAUCAAAUUCCAAUGGGGGUACUUUAGGGGAAAAAUUGUUUUUUAAUUGGGAAUGACACAAUUUAACGAAGUUAAAUAAUUUCCUUAACAAGUGUGAAACAUGUCUUCUUUUUCUUCUUAUAAUCAAGACCGGAGGGAGUAUAAUAUUACUACUUGUUCAAAUGAUCAUUGUGAGUGGUAACUGGUAAGCCGUGGCAAUUGUUCACUUCUGUUAUUAAUGGAAGUGCUCUUUCUCCAGUGUAGGAUUUUCAUCUUAAGUACUUGACUACCUUAUUUAUUUUGUUUUUAGUUGAGUGGGGGGUGGGGGUCAGGAAGGGCUUAUGACUUGUUAAUGGGCUUCUUGGUAUAGUAUGUCAAAAUAAGCUCUUUUUAGUUUAUUUCAAUAAAUUUCAUGGCCAAAUUUAUAAGUUAUCAUGUAAUAAGAGCUUAUUGAAUAAGUGCUUAACUAAAUUGUUUACCCAUACAACCCUUUGUCCAUGCAAUGUUUUCUUUCCUGAAUGUCCUAUUUGUCCUGCAUUUUGCAGUUGUUGAUAGUUUUUAUAGUAUACAUCAUUUUCCAUCAUGGUUAUCAACAUUCUUUUUGCGAAAGUAAACAAUCAAAGUGCAGUAAUGAAAAUGUUAGUCUUCAUUGACAGUAGAGAACAAGCUUCAUGUUGUUGAUGACUCUUUGAGGGGCACUCACCAAAGUUAACAUCUGCCUCUCCCUUUUUCUUGGAUGAUUGAACCAAUGUGGAUUUGCAUGUUUUAUCUGCAAGCUGCUUGUAGAAUAGUGUUAAGCCAUAAUGAUUGUAUCAUGAUUAGUUUGUUUCUAAGCUGGCUUUUCUAGAGUUGGCUCCAUGUUAAUAUUCAGAGCUUGAGUACUUGGUGUGUUAUCAUGGGUUUAUUUGGCUUCAGACCAUGUUUUGUGUCAUUUUGCCCUUUAAUUUUUUUUAGGAGUGUUAGGAACAUACUCUCUAACUCAGUCUUUGCUUCUGGUUAGAAUUUAUUGGAAAUUACAAAAUCAAGAUUUAAGAGCAUCACAAAAUUUUGUGUUUUUCAAUAAAUUCAAAGCAAUAGGAGUGUGUUAGAGAGUGUGUUCCUCUAUUUUUUUUCUUCCUGUUCUCAUACUUCUAUAUGUGGUGUCAAAUUAUUUUGGUGUUAUUGAAGGCUGUGGAAUGGCAGAAGGCAAGUGUCUCCCAUGUUCAGGUGUUUCUGGAAGAACUGCUGCUGUAUAUUCCUACUCUUCUCUAGGUCAUCACAGAAUUCAUUCCCGUGUCCAAGUUAGAGGACUAAAGUGUGGCUUUAGGGGUGCAUCUUUUGUAUGUGAAGCAAAGAGGAACCCAGAUUUCUCAAGGCAAAACAAGCACGGGUCCUCCAGAAGCAGAAAUCGGAACAGUGAUGGGAGAGACAGCUUUGAGAGCUUUGACGACGAUAUGUUUUCAUUAAAAAAUGGACCGCCUGUGUCUCUUUCAACCUCAGGAAAAUUCCAGGCCACUUCAGCCCCUGGUCCUAGGGAGAAGGAGAUUGUUGAGCUAUUUAGGAAGGUCCAGGCUCGGCUGCGUGAGAGGGCUGCUUCCAAAGAAGAAAAGAAAGUUGAAGCCUCCCGAGCGCAAAGUAAAGAGAACAGUACUGUAGAUUCGCUCCUCAAACUACUGAAGAAACACUCAGUUGAGCAAGUGAAGAGAAGUAGUGGGGGAGGCAGAGGAAAAGAUUUUAGUUCGGACCAAAUGCAAGAAAGUAACCAAUAUGAUGGAGGACGAAAUGCUAAAAUUUCUGAUUUGGAUAGUACUCCUAAGGAUGAGCCCCAAGAGGACAAUGUCUUCUCCUCCUCGGUAGCCAGGCCUCGGUCAAAUUUCCAAAGAAGGUCUCCCGUUCCUCGUGUAAAAUACCAGCCUGUCUCUAACGAUGAGGAUGAUACGGAUGUAGUGCCAGUAGGUAGUGAGGAUACAGAGAACAAUCAGGAUCAGAUAGAUUUGAAGCUUGAUGAUGAAGCCGAGUCUGACUCUGAAUCUGAUGUUGAUUCAAAGGAUGAGCUGUUCUUCCCAAACAUAGGGAUGGCUGAAUUGUCUGAGGAUGAUGACUCCGAGCAAACCUAUAAUGAUGAAAGUGUGGAGGAGCAGCCGGUGGCUCAACAUGAGGAUUUUAGUGCACUGAAGCUGUCCGAAUUGAGGGCACUUGCAAAGACUCGUGGCCUGAAAGGAUUCUCAAAAAUGAAGAAGAGUGACCUCAUGGAGUUGCUAACUGAGACCUGAUUCUGAUGGAUGAUAUACGAGAAGAAAAAGGGUCAAAACAACACAUGCCAUAGUAACAGAUUUUUUUUCUUUUCUUGUUUUUGACUUGACAUUCUAUCUGAUGUUUCUUUGUGUUUUUUUUUUUUUUUGCCACUCUAAUAUAAUUUUUCCAAGUACUUGAGGUUGAGAUUUUGUGGAACAUUAGAGUAAUCAUGAUAUCUUUGCCUCGGAGAAUUUUUAAAUUUGUAGUUAUAUUCCCGGGAUGAUAUCUUGUAGCUUUUGGUUAUUGAGAGAUUACAUCAUUGUCCUAGUAUUUUGUUUAUCUCCGUUAUUCUUUUGUUGAUGAAAUUUUUGGUGGUCAUUCAUAUAAUGCAUGUUCAAGCAUAAAGUCAGAAGAAAUAUCCAUCAUGGUUUUAGGUUAUGAAUGUACACCUCAAACCUUGUUAAGAACUUUGGUCAAGGUGGCUCAAAAAGUGUCUUGGCCCAUGUUAGUUUAUUUCUUAAUGAUUUUGUUCACAGCAAGCACAUGGUUUGAGCCUUUGAGGCAUCAGGCAUGAUUACCAAAUACCAAAAGCCGAAGAAAGCAUCUACUUUGCCUAAAUGGCCGUUUGGAAUCUUAGUUACACGCAGAAACAAACAAGUCAUUAGUCUGUUGUCGUUUUGGACCUUAUUUCUUGUAGUUUUUAGUGAAAGAAUUAUGCUUUCUUUUGCUUAGUUUGCAGGAUGGGCUAUGAUUCUCUUUUCUUUCUUUCUUUUUUUUGUGACAAAUAUUAAUUGUUAGUUUUGUUUGAAUGUUAAUGAAAGAGAUUCAAACUCAAUCAACAAUUUUUUCCUCUUCUCUUCUCCCUUCAAUCAUCAUAUCAAUUUUAUAUCUCUUAUAUGAUUGUCCCUUAAUUGGUUUGCAAUUUUGAUUGGAUUAAUUUUUAGAUCUAAACCUUGUUGAGUGUAAUUCGGAUUUAACUAAUUAGUGAUUAGUUGAUUAGGGUUAUGAGUGGUUUCCAAUAGUUAUAAAUAUAUGUACAGAUAUUCUAAUUCUAUCAUGUUCUAAUUCUAUCAUAAAAUGAGUAAAGAAGAAUAAGUACGCUACAUAUAUUUUUUUUCUUCUUUAUUUUCUCUCUCUCUCUAGCGUGCUAUCAAACUAGUCUCUAAACUCAAAGAAAUCAAUGCUGUGAGUUUAAUUUAUACCAAAUUUAAGUUGAUGGGAUCAAGUAAAUUAAUAUAAAUUAAAACAGGGUUGAGUGUAGCUUCUCACAAGGUGAUAAAUCAAAUUCAAAUUUUUGUUAAGAGAAUGGUCCAUGUUUAAUAUCCAAUCAUGUUUCCUAUAAGAUUGUCUUUAAAGAAAUAUAUUUAUAGAAAACCAAGAGAAAUAAAUAAUGCAAACUUUUCCCCUCCAAAAAAAUAAUACAAAUUUUUGUUGUGGUUUUGAGGGGAGGGGGUUUGGGAUUUAUUAUAGGAUGAACUGAUAAUUAUUAACCUAUUAAAUUAAUGAGAAUCGUAUAUUAUGUACAGAUCAGGUGGAGCGACAGAAUUGAAUUAGAUCCAUCUUGAAUUAAUAUUGGGACAUGAUUUGAGACAUUUAAAAGAUUUUUUUUUUUGUUUGAAGAAUAUUAUAUGGUCAGAAAGCAGACUUGGCAUGCAGUACUUACGUUCAAAUUGGGCAAAAGUACAGGGGUCAAAUUUUAACUAUUAAUUAUAACCUCAAAUUGUUAUUAAAUGUUAUCAAAAAACUCAACGUGUAAUUUCUUGAAUUAAUAAAAUAAUUUUGUCAAACAUUCUUAGUUAUAUAUACGUGUAUGUGUAAUCUUUCUUAAGAAAAUGAGAUCACUUAAGCAUUGGACUUGCCUAUCCAUCGAGCUAGCUAUGGAUUUUAGGAGAAUUCUUUGGUUUUGUUAGCUAUACAUGACCAAACAACUUAUUACAUUGUCGGCAGCAUCUUAUUAUUAUUAUUAUUAUUUUUAAGGAGACAACAAGUAGUUCAAUUUAAGUACAUCUCCAAAAGUGGACUCAAUCUCAAAGACAAGAUCCCAAAAGUGGUCGAGUUGAAUGUUUUUAAGUGUAAAAAGGCUGAACUUGCUACUCAAGCGAGUAAGUAGACCUAACAGUAUAAUUACUCUCAAAUUAUUUAUUAAAUAAAAAAUAAUUACAUCCUUUAAAUUAAAUUAUAUAUAUAUAUUCCUCAAACUAUGAUGAUGUAUAUUGUGUAUUAAAUUAAAAACAAACAUUACAGAUAAGUUUAAUUCACGUAACCUUUUCUUCUGAAAUAAAAUUGAUUCUUGAAAUUGUAAUAACCAUCGAACAUUUUAAUUCCUGAUUUUAUAGAACUAUAAUUUUAAAUUCACUUUAGUCACAUUUAAAAAAAGCAAUUCAAAACAUUAUAACGAAUGGUAUUCUACAAAAUUAAAGAUUAAAAUAGCCCAAUCUCACAUACCAAGAAUAGAAAUUAAUAUACUUUUUCUCUUGCAAGGUAGGGUGGGAUGAACAUGCCCAUUUCAUUGAUGUGAUGACUUGUUUAUAGGCCCAUAAUGAUUAUUAUCCAAGUCUGAAACACAGUACCAUAAUUAUAGUUUGGACUGGAGCCCACAAUUCAACUCCAACUUUCCUUUCCUUUUCUUUGGAAACAGCAGCACGUGCAUGCUUUCUGCUUGCUUCCAAAAGCAGCUUCCGUCAGAAAAUAAAAAGUGAGAAUAUUUAAAAUUUCACAUGUUGAGUGACCCCAAACCAUAAAAUUUUAGCUAUCUAUGAGACUUGUGGAUUUUGGGUUGCUGAUUUUGUGACUAAUGUGUGCUUUUUUCUAUCCAAAUUUAAUCCAUCACAUGGUGAAAAGGAGAAGGGGAAAUGAAUCCUUUUUAUGAUCUACUACUAUACUACAAACCAUGACGUAUACGGCAAACAUGAUAGGUAAUUAAUUAGCAAUUCAUGACAUUAAUGUUAAGAUCUUAGUCAGCAUAAUCACGGUUGACUUGUGAGUUUUUAGGGUGAAUGAGAGUUGUGCUUGAAUGAAGAUUAGGAUUAGAUUAAACACUUCUUCAUUGGAUCCAAAUUUGUUAGCUUCUUCUCACCUAAAAAACAAAACUGAAUUUAUGAGGGUUUUUUUCUAUAGGGGAAGUAGGUAGGGACUUUUUCGUGCAACUUUAUGAGAGUGAUAUACAGCUCAAUAUAUAUAAGCAAAUGGAUAGAGCAGUACAAUGAAUCGUAAUUAUUAUUGGAGAAAUGAUUAUUAAACAUUAUGUGAGUAAGGAAUAAAAACUUUUAAAGAUUUAGUUCUUACGAAUCUCGAAUGUGAAUUUUUACACUUAACAAUAUAUAUAUUUUUUAAAUAUUCCCUUGUACAUGCUAGAGCAUGGGAAAGAUUAAUUUUAAGGAUUUUAGCUUUUUGGGGGAAAAAAAGUUGUAUGUAAAAUAAUCCUGUACUAUAAAUUCAAUAAAUGUGAUACACUCUUAUUAAGUCGUUUUAGAGACAAGCUCGCUUAAAUAAAACAUAUUUUAUACUAGUAUGCAUUGCCUUAAAGUGUCUUAAUCAUUUAAUCUAUUUCUUAAUUGAAAAAGAUAUGUUUCACUUGUUAACAUUUUUUAAUUUAAAAUUGAAAAUGAUAACGUAUAAUUUAUUUUUGUUGCACUUUUUCGUUUUUCUCCUGAAAAUUUGGAUUUUUCGUAUAUUAGAAUAGGAUGAUGACGAUAACAAGAAUAAUUUAUGUUAAGUUACAACAUUUUAUAGCAUAACUUUCUCAUAAAUAUGAAUAUGGAUAUUUUCUUAUCAUCCGGAUAUAUAUAUAAAAGUCUGACAUAAAUAAGUUAUAAUCUUAUUGUUAUCUAGCCAAAUUAAUGUUGUAAAAUGUAUAUUAACAAUAAGGUAAGUAUCAAGUUCCAUUAUUAUUAGUAAUUUGUGAGUCAACUCUAAGGUCUUCACUAUUAUUCAUUUUAAAUUUUCUGAAUAUUUUAAUCACAGAGCAUACCUAUAGAAAAACAUUGACAGAAAGGAAAUAUAUAUAUAGAGAGAGAGAAUAAAUAAUCAGUUGAUGUGUGAUAAAUGAUACUAGAAAGAAAAUAGCAAGGAUGGAAAAAAGAUAAAACUAAAAGUAAAUAUAUAGAUAUGGUUUUUUAUAAGGCAUAUAUAUAAAUAUGGUUAGACUAGCCUAUAUAAUGAGUGCAGUGCUUGCCCACUUUCUUGAUAAUAAAUGAGUAAACCAAGGAAAGUGGAAACCAAGAGUUGCCCAAUUCUUGUUGUGUUUUUUUAUUAAGACACACAGGUGGCUAGAUGAUGAAACAAGCAUGUUACUCAAGUUUCAAAGCUGACAUUUACACAGAGGAUAUGCUAUAUUACUCAUAUAAAGUUAAUUAAAUAAACAGAUUUCACACUCUAUUUAAUAAUUUUCACGUAUUAUUUAUUAAGAUUUUGUAAAUUAUAUUUUCUUCCUCCUAAAUUAAAUGUGGUCUUAAAUUAUUUUGCACAGAUAAAAAAGUUAAUAAAUAAUAGAUGAACAAGAAUAAUAAUUUUAUAAAAUUAAUUUUAUUAAAUAGAUGAAAGAUAAUAAUAAUAAUCUUACAUUGAAACUAAAGUGACACGUAUUAGUUAUUAGGAAUAUUAUUAAAAAAAUUAAUAUUAUAUUAAAAAUUUAAUAUAACAUUUUUUUUAAAUUUUUUUAUUUAAAUAUGUUAGUUAGCAAAAAUGUGUUAAAUAACUUAUUAUUGACAUUUUUCACAUAACGUAUUGAACUAAACAUUACAUUGUGAUUCAGUUUUUCCCAUAGCAUAGUUAAGAAAGUGGGUAACAUUGGCCAAUCAAUGGUAUUUAUCUUUUAGCAUAAUUUGGUUUGAAGCAUGAGCAAUUUUGAGAAUCAUUUUAAAGUAACCGAUGGUACAAUGACACCCAUCUUUAACUCCUCCAUGUUUGUAGAGAAAAAGAUGAACCUGUCGAAAAUGUCACGGAAUAUUAUCGGCUCACAUGUUUGCCACAAAAUGUCACAGUUAAAUGGUCUCAAUUUGAACACGAGGUGUUGGAUCCCUAUUGGCUGGGAUCUAAAAGCAAGCUUGUUUUUUGGUUGAAAAAAACACUCCUUUAAAGUGAGGAAGUUUCUCAACUCAAAUGCAUGCAUAUAUAUAUAUACAUUAUUAUUGAAGUACUUCUUAAAUUUAUGUCACUUUAAUUUAAGAAGGGAUAUGUAAAACCUUUUUUCACUUUAGAGGAAACUGUUGGUACCAUUUAAUAGCCCACAAAGAUUGCUUGAAGGACUCAAUAAUAUUAAUGAACUUUAGUUGUUUAUUCAAUCCUUAAUGCACUAUUCAAUUUGAAAGUUGAAUCCAAAGAAAAUGGGAAAAAGAACUCAACUUACAAUGGUUUUACUGCUAUCACAUGGCUCCACUAGAAAGAAAAGUUACCAGUUUGCUUUAGCUAACUAAUUUGGUUGUAUCAUAGUCCAAUAGUACCCAAAUGGAGUUGUUAUUUUGUCUCCAUCAGCAUACUAUCCAUAUCUAUAUAUGAAAAAGGUUGGUUGUAUAUAAGACCUUAGUUUUUUUUGUGGCUUUUUAGUUUCUUUUUCUGCAAUCUUAAAGUGAACUUUUAAGUUUUAACCAUCUUUUUUUUGUGUGUGUGUGGACGAGAAAAUUGAUUCCUUUUUAAAUUUGUCAAUGUCAAGGGGUCAGUGCUAACGGAUACUGAGAUUUAUUGAACAACAUUUUACAGAUGAAGUUAAUUAAUUAAUUAGUUUGACCAAGCUUGAUAAUUAAUUAUGAAAAAGUGGAAAUUUUGUCAAUCAUUUGAUUGAAGUUGGUUGGUUUUAGGUAGUCCAGAGUCCACAAUCUACUAAAAACAAAGACACUCAUUUAAUUGUGGCUUGGAAUCUUGACCGUAGUUUUAGACUUGGAAUCACCAGUUUCAGUAUGGAUGCAUGUUUUUGAGAACGAUCUACAUCAAAUUAAAAAAUAAUCUGUAAAAUGAAUAAUUUAUAUUUAUACGCAUAACAAUAAUCAAUUCGGAAUUUCACUUGCUAAUACAAAUAGAUGAAAGCUACUCCAUAAAAAACUAUAAUAUAUGUUCACAAAAAAAAACUAUACUAUAUAAUUGUAUUUCAAAAUUAUAAGUUGUCCUUUUAAUUCCAUGCUUAAGUUUUGAUGAUGAAACACGAGCAUUAAAGGUUCAUCAUAGUAGCAAAAAAUUUAUAAUACGAAAUUUUAGUUUCAGCAUGUGCCCUUUUUUUUUUUUUUUUGAGAGAUUUCCAAUAUGCGCUUUUGAUAUUAUUUAAUUUUUAUUUAUUUACCUUUAAUAAUUACGUCAGUUGUUUCUUGCAAAAUCUAAUUACUUUCAUGACCAAAUUAAUUUUUAAAAAUUUAAUUUUCUUAUUUAAAUGUAUUUAUUAAUAUACUUAUUUGAAUUAAUUUUACAUAUUUUUUUUAAUUUUAAAAUUUAUAUUCUCAAAAUUUGUCGAAAUUUAAUAAUAUUAUGCAGUAGGAAAAACACUAUGUACACUAGUGUUAAAGAAAACAUCAACAUAUCUUUCUUAUCUUCCACGUCCCUCAUGAUGAGAGGUGGAUAUAUAAAUUGAACUAAUGUAUGUAUUUUAUAGCUUUUUUUUUACGGUAUGUAUUUUAUAACUUAAUUAAACGCAUAAAGUAUUAUUUUCUCCUCGAACAAUAAUUUCUCUUACCUUUUCAACGCAACUGUCCAAAUAUGCGAGACAGCGUAUCAUAUAGUGCAAGUACUUGAGAUUUGCCACAUUUUCCACUUUUGCUAAAUGAAAAAAAUAUGUGUGGCAAAAAGAGGGAUUUUGUUUGGGCAGAAAAUGCAUUGUAGUCCACUUAUCCUUCUUCAUCCAGGAAAAAUAAAAAACCGAGAUUCCAAAUUUUCAUACUGAAUUUGAGGUAGAAAAUAGUAUGCAGAUAUGGAAUAUUGUAACAUUUUUCAGCCAGAAAAAUAAAAGUAAUGAAGAAAAAAGAAUACUAUAUUAAUUAUUAUUAUUAUUAUUAUUAUUAAACCAUGAAGGAUAAGAAUGUCCUAAAAAGAAAAUAUCAACAAGAAAGAGGAAUUAUCACUCAAUAUUAAUAAAGGGUAACAAUACUACACAUUAUCUAAUAGUACCUUUCUAUACAAAUUUUGUUUGUUAGAUAAAAAUUAUGUAGGUCUUAUUAAUAGACAUGUGUCUUACUUUUUAUUUGGUAAAUUCUUUUUUCAAACCAGUGAAAUUCAUAUAAAUUUAAUUAAUAACAAUAUGUUAAAAACAAAAUAUUGGAAAAUUUCUAACUAAUACUCCUGUAAAUCAAUAAUAAUCGUGCAUACUUGACUUGGCAUAUUCACAUAUAAAAAGUAUUUCUUUUUAUUAAAAAAAUCUUGAUUUUGUGUUAUGUUUGUCCUCAAAUAUGUUAUUAUAAAACAAAACGUCUAAUCUGUAACAUGCUAUUACAUCUCAAAUCUUGUUUUAUCUCAGCACUGUUCAUUAGUAGUAUUUUCUUAAUUAAAAUUUGCCACGAAACACAAGAAAAAAAUUGCAACCGUAUCCGUAUGGCACAUUAUGGACCCACCAAUUAACCCAUUUUUAUGUUUUUUUUCCCCUUAAAUUAUUAUUAUUAUUAUUAUUAUUAUUAUUUUCCUAAGAAAAUUUCCCUUGUUGUUGGACCCUCUCCUUUCCCCCAGGCUUUCAGACAGCUUUGUUGGGAGAGAAAAUAAAAUGCAGGGACGAAUGAAUGAAUGGAGGAAGAUGAUGGCCUUCAACGACAACCAUUGAAAUUCUAAAAUCACAUGUUUUUUUUUGGAACCUUCCAUUCCAUUCCUAAUGGUCUGAGGCUGAUCAGGAUCUGUUUUCCCUCUCCCAUUUGAGUUUCAGAGCCAUGCAUUUAGGUAUGUAUGAAUAUUUAAUCAUCCAAAGCUUCUGUUUUUAAUCACAAAAUGUAAUUUUUUUUAAUUUAUUUCUUCUUUUUGUAUGGAUUUCUGAGGUGCCCUUUUUUGGUUUUGAUUUAUUGGUGGAUCGAAUUAGUUUUUCUAUCACUUAUACUCAAAAUCUGAGCUUUGGAUGAAUGGGGGUGCUGUGAAUUUAGAUAUGUUUGAUGAAAUCUCCUUAGCAAGUUGGAAACUUUCUCUGUGUUAUUGUUAGAGCUGUUUGUUAGCGAUUUAUUGGGUUGGCUAAUGGAAAGGUGCAUGCUUGUCAUUUAGGUGUCGGUGGAAAAUCUGGGGUGAAGUUGUCUAAAAGAGAGGGUGAUUUGGAAAUUUUUUAUUUCUGUGGUUCCCGGAAGAUGAAGUUUUAUACUUUAUAUUUGAAUUAGGGUCUUUUAAGUGGACGUUGUUGUCAUUCCAUGAUUAUUUUACUGGAAUUUUUGAACCGAAAAUUCUUUCUGCUUUAGUUGACUUUGACUUGUCUUGCAUGCAUCAUUUUCAUUGGGGAUAGGCCUAUGUUACUAGUUCCACAAAGGUAAGGUGGCAUGUACCCUUUGCUUGGUCAAUAAUAACCUCUUUGUAGUUUUGUACCUGACCCUUCUUCCUCCAUUCCAUCUUCCUAUGGUUUUUUGUUGCUGUUGGAUUCAUCGAAGUUUAUGUCUAAUGCCUCCUAUAGUGUGAUAUUCAAAUAGACAUAUGUACAAGAAUCAUUAGUCAUGAUAUGUUUUUGCGUGAAGAGAAGCUUGUGUUACUACAUCUGGAAUAUUUAUCAACAUUUUAGUCUACCAUGCACUUGAGUCCUGUUUAAUUGAUUUAAAUAAAUGAAUAUAUAGGACUAAAUAGGGGGACUAUCUUAUACAUUUAAGUCAUUUCCCAGUGCUUUGUUUAGAAUUCUUUUCUGGUUUGUGUAAUAUUAGUUUAUUGUAUGUUUUUUCUUGAGCAGGUCAGACAGAUACUACUUCUGUGAAAUGUCUGAUCAACAGCAUUUCUCGAUUCAUUCAUCUGGUUUCUUGUCAAACAAUGAAACCUAUGCCCUUUCAGAACAUCUGUAAUAAUAUGGUUGGGGUGUUAAAGCGCUUGAAACCGGUGCUUGAUGACAUUAUGGAUUACCAAAUCCCUUCAAAUGUAAAUCUAUGUAAAGAGUGUGAGGAAUUGGAUAUGCAGGUUAAUGAAGCUAGGGAUUUCAUUGAAAAAUGGAGUCCAAAGAUGAGCAAGAUUCACAGUGUAAGUAAUCCCAUGUAUUCUUAUAGUCAAACUAAUACCAUUAUCCAACAACUGUAUUUCCUGCUUGUUUAAGAUCAUUGGCCACUUUGUUGCUAUUUGAAAGUUGAAAAAGACAAUGAACUUCCAAUAUAGGCAAUACCUCUGCCAUUUGUCUUAGUUGGGUGAAGGUUAAUUGCAAUGCUUAACUGUUAUGUUGGGAUUAUUCUAUUUUCAGGUUCUACAAGGUGGUACUUUGUUGAUCAAGUUACAGAGCACCUCUCUAGAUAUCUGUCACAUGAUAGUUAAAUCCUUACAGUCACCUCCAUCUGCAUCAGUUUUGGCUAAUCUUCAGGUAUGUGCAAAGUUGGAGGUUACCUCUCUAUCUCUUUUUCCUGAUCAUUAUUCUGCUACACCUCCAAAAAAUAUAAUUAAGAAAAAAAUUGAAAUCAUGUAUUUAGGAGGAAAAGUCAUUGUCAAUUUUCAGGUGUCUUGUUGAUCUAUUUAAGCAUGAGACUAAUUUCUGGCAACUUUUCAGCACUAUAUCCAGGAACUUCAGUGUUUCAAGAAGGAAAUGGCUAUGGUCUUCAUAGAAGAAGCACUAAGAAACCAAAGAGAUAAUGUUGAACUUUGCACGGAGCAUCUCAAGGAAAUUAUUGAGUUACUUAAAUUGACAUCAAAUCAGGAGCUCUUAAGAGAAAGUAUUGCUGUGGAAAAGGAAAGGUUGAAUGCUGAAGUCAAUAAAAUGAAGGGGGACUUGGAAGAACUUGAUGAUAUUGUGAUUCUUGUCUGUAAUUUGCGUGAUUAUGUGAUGAAAACUGAGUGUCCUGUAGUCAAGAGUGGUCUGUUAAUCCCUCUAUACUUCCGCUGUCCUUUAUCAUUGGAACUCAUGUUGGAUCCUGUCAUUGUGGCUUCAGGUCAAACAUAUGAGAGGCAAUCCAUCCAAAAGUGGCUUGAUCAUGGGCUGACUGUUUGUCCCAAAACUCGUCAGAGACUUACUCCUACAAAUCUCAUACCUAAUUAUACUGUCAAAGCUAUGAUAGCAACUUGGUGUGAGGAAAAUAAUGUCAAACUUUCUGGUAACUCUGAGCAAAAUAAUUCUGCCUGUAUCACAUCCCCCUCGGACCAUUUAUUGCCUCAAGAUUUAACUCAUGAUUGUUGUGUUGAGUCUUUACCUAGUAGCAAUUCCAUUUCAAGAUCAGCUCUGCAAACUGAAAAUGCAUUUGAAAAGCAAAAGGGUGAUAACUCUUUCAGAUUAUGCGAAGAAUACAAUGGAUGCCAGAGUGGAGCAAUUGAAAAGUGUGAGCAACAGUCCCCAUAUACUCACAGCAGAAGUGAAUCAUUUUCAAGUUCAAUUUCUAGUACUGAUUGUGCGCAUGCAGUUUCAAAAGAGGUGUCAGGGAUAUCCAAUAAGCUUCAAAAUGUGAAGGUACUGUCUGGAGAAAUCACAAAGGUGUGUCCUCCUUCUCCUGGUAACAAACAAUCAGGGAUCUCUCCGUGGUUAUCUGGAACGCAAUUUCAAAGCCCUGGAUCAAAUGUGGGAGUGUUGGAGAAUGGAAAUAAUAAUAAUAGUCAUUCAAGAUUUGAUUCCCAUCCUGUUUUCAACUCCGGGUCGGAUGAAUUAACCACCUCAUCUCAUGUUAUUAGAUUGAUUGAAGACCUUCACAGCCAAUCAAUUGAAACGCAAACUGCUGCUGCAGAAGAAUUGAGGCUCCUUACAAAGCAUAACAAGGAAAACCGUAUCAUUGUUGGGCAGUAUGGGGCUGUUGCACCUUUGCUUUCACUGUUAUAUUCAGACUUGCAGGUAACACAAGAGCAUGCUGUUACAGCUCUGCUGAAUUUAUCAAUUAAUGAAGACAACAAGGCCUUGAUCAUGGAAGCAGGAGCCAUAGAACCACUUAUCCAUGUUUUAAGUACAGGAAAUGAUAGUGCCAAGGAGAAUUCUGCAGCAACUAUAUUCAGCCUCUCAAUAAUUGAGAACAAUAAAGCAAGAAAUUGGCCGUUCUGGAGCAGUUUAAAGCUUUGGUGGAUCUUCUUGCCUCAGGAACUCUUAGAGGAAAGAAGGAUGCUGCUACUGCUCUAUUUAACCUGUCAAUAUUUCAUGAGAAUAAAGCUCGUAUAGUUCAAGCUGGAGCGGUGAAGUUUCUGGUUUGGUUAAUGGACCAUGCUGAAGGAAUGGUUGACAAGGCUGUUGCUCUUCUGUCAAACCUGUCAACAAUUCCAGAGGGCCGAUUAGAAAUUGCAAGGGAAAGGGGCAUCCCCUUACUAGUUGAAAUUGUUGAGUAUGGUUCACAGAGGGGAAAAGAAAAUGCAGCCUCCAUUCUCUUGCAAUUAUGCCUUCAUAGUUCUAAGUUCUGUACUCUGGUUUUGCAAGAAGGAGCUGUCCCUCCCCUGGUGGCAUUAUCGAUAUCCGGUACACCAAGAGCAAAGGAAAAGGUGUGGAGCUUAUCCUCCUUAUUGGUGGUUAACAUUUUUAUUGUCUGUGAAUAUCUAUCAGUCAGUUUGCUGCAUUUUCCUGAAGUCUUGUCCUUAUCAUAAUUAUGCACUCAUUUUGUUGAAACUGAGGGCUGCAAUCUAGUUUUGUAACAUUUCCUCACGAGUUUAAUUUUCAUGUGCAUUAUUAGUGUAAAUAUGGUCAACCUAUCAGAUGCUAUCUUAGGUAUGACUGUUAAGGUAGUUAUAUUAUAUAAGUCAACAAACUUAUUAUACAUGACGAUAUAUGAUUGGAUGACUGUGUAUCAAUGCAUUUUAAUUAAAUUCUUUUCUCAAUAGUGCAUUUCUCCAUCCUAAUCCCCUUUCCCCCAAAAUAAUAUUUUCCCCUCUAUCUGAACAUGGAAAUUUUCACUAGUAGCAACUUACUAUAGGUAUUAUGAGAAACUUUGGUGGUCCUGUCAUGACAUACAAUGUCUCUUGUAAUGCGAGCAUAAUCUUCUGAAAGGUGUAUGAAAAAACGCUGACACGUACAUGUCCAUGCAGGCACAACAGCUUCUCAGCCAUUUUCGUAAUCAACGGGAAGCAGCUACUACUGGGAAAGGGAAAUCAUGAAAAUAGCCAAUUUUGGUUAUUCCAUUGCCCCUUUGUCUUGCCUAAGUAACAAACAUGUGAUAGCUGCUGUCUAGUAGGCUUAUAGGACUUUCAUUGCAUUCUUUUGAUAUUUUUACUCGUAUUAUUUGCGAAGCUGUCUUGUUAUCUUUAUUUCAGUGCCUUGACAUUGCUUAUUCUCAAGUUCAAAAAUGGGAUUGGAACACCAUUUCUUCCCCUAUUGUCAGGGGUAUUAGUCUUUUCCAACUUUUUGUUUUGUAUGGACUUCUAAUUUUCUUUCUUACUUUGGUGGAGAUAGGCUACUUUCUGAAGCUUUAGCUUGGCAACAUGUAAACCACAAUGUUAUUCAGCUAUGUGGUCCCAAGUCAGUGUUGUAUAUAUUUGUACAUAUACUAUAGAUUUUUGUGAUCUACUAUAAAUCAUUGUACCUUACACUGCUCUUCGAGCUUUGUGAUCUACGGUUUCAUUUUGACCUUUUGCAUUAUCUUGCCAUAGUUCAUAGGCUAUGUUGCAAAAUGUCGUGGAAUUGUACCUCUUUCUCUUUCAUCUAUAUUGCAGAUGUGAUAGAACGGACAAAAUCACCGACACCGUGCAACUGGAGCAAUUGGGUUUGGACUGUUCAUGGGUUAGUUUGGUUCAGGUUUCAAAAUUCAGUCAAUUUGAAUCAAAUCUGAAUCAAACCAAUUCAACCAAUUUGAUCUUAAUCAUUUUUUCUUUUUCUUUUAAUUGACAAAAUGUUAGUUGUUAGUUUGUUUUUAUUAGGGAGGGAUUCGAACCUAUCAUGUCUUUUUUUUUAAUAUUUACUUAAUAUGUGAUAAAAAUAAUCAUUUCAUAACUUUUUUUAGCUAUGUGUAUAGAGUAACACAAAUGGGAAGAGGAAGAGGAAUUUUUUCUUAACUGGUACUCUACUUCGAGGGGAUUAGUCUCAUUGUUUCUGACAUCUGGUUGUGGGAUAUCUUGCCAUCAAAAGUAGAAGAUUAUAAGAACAAACUGUAAAGAAAAUAAGAGAGAAGACAAAAGUAGAAAAAGAAAAGAAAAAAGUAGGCACUAAGAUAAAAAAAUGUAUUAAUAUGAAAGUUAAAAAACUGUUGAUCUGAUUAUCGUGUUAGGUUUAUGUUGAGAAAAGAUAAAUCCGAACAGCGAACAAAUUGUAAUGUAUUUGGGUUGAUUUGAUUUUGAAGUAAAAGAACUCAAUUAACAAAAUUAAUUAGUUUGAUUUAAAUUAUUGAAUUCAUUGAAUCAAUGAUCCAAUUAAUAUCCCUAUUCGACUUUUCGAAAUCACCGACACGGUGCAACUGGGUCUGGAGCUCCAACAUUAUCCAUACCCAUUAGAACUUGUAAAAUAUCCCGUAAUAAUAAUGUACUAGUUCUCACUACGGGUAUACCUAUUGGGCCUAGUUGUAAUCACCAGAGCAAACUAUUGCGCUUAUCAACCUUUUUCCAUUCUGGAGGUUUUACGACCAUGAUUUUGAGUGUUGCUAGGUGCAUCCAACACUAAUCACAAAAAGAUAGAAAUACCCCUUACGGAUCAACUUGAUCCGUAAGUUAAUUAUUAAGACUUACGGAUCAAGUUGAUCCGUAAGUUGAUUUUUAAGAUUUAUGGAUCAACUUGAUCUGUAAGUCUUUUACGAUCACUGAUCGUACGUCUUAAAAUCAUUAACGAUCAACUAAUCUAUAGAAGAAAUAGCAUGACAGUUUACCAUUUCAAAAAAUAAUGGGUGCACCUAGCACACUCAUGAUUUUCAUCCAAUAAAACGUUGACAUAUAUCAGUAUGGGCUAUGCUUCAUAUUGUGGCCCACUAUUGCAUGGUUCACGUAACAUAAUACGUAAAUAUUAUUGACCGAGUCAAAGCGACAUGCAGAUACAGCCAAGAGCAGAAAUACAACUAUACAAGUAAAUGUCGACACCAAAAAAAGAAGAAAAUAAUGUGUUGUGAUCCUUCUUCCUUAACUAGGGGGAAACUGUAGAACAAAUAAAAUUAGGCUUGAAAUUGU